GCAAUUUCUUGUUUGCCUAGGUCGGGAUAAUGAUGUGUCUUUGGAUCUGGGGAGUGCGCAUCGUAUGUGAGUCCCGACUAAUUCUUAUACGGUUAUACCUGGAAAAACAAGUGGUAAAAAUUACCCACGAUUUUUUUUAAAAAAAAUACCAGGCAUCUGGUGAGGACAUCAGCAUUCUUCCUUCGAAGUGAGCCCUCUCGACCUGGCGAGCAGCGACCUGGGCAGCAGUAGCGGAGCAUCCGUGCCGGAGUGCCGGUUCUGGCGAGUGGCGAGCCAAGCCGUUGCCCCGCCUAAGAAAAUAUAUCAGAAGACCUUAGCCAACAUGGUUAAAAAUAAUAUUAGAAGACGCUUUGAAAAAAUUAGUAACGGUUAUUUUCGUUAGUUAUUUUCCAAACAUAGUUAAAAAUAUCAAAAUUAAAAAAAAUAAGAGAUAUGAGAGCAUCAUUUGGGUCCUUCCUCUAGUCUUAGCCAGCAAUCCUGGUGUUACGUCAACAAAACCAGUCCGCCAAACACCAUUUUCGGGAUUAAGGGGUUUAAUUGACCUAGAUCAGUAAGGUCGAGGUCUGAAAUUCAGGGAUUCAAAGUUAAGGUCUGAUUCAGACUUUGUCUACAAGUUAAGGGUUGAAAAUAGACUUUUCUUUUUUUUCUUUUUAUAAAGCACCGAUCACAUGUUCACACAUUGUGCCCGUGUGCCGCAUGAGCACACCUUUGAGGCCUCUCUCAAAUGCACGGUUUUAAGCGUUCUCUGGGAUAUUGUCUAAUAGGUGUUUAUAAAAUUAAACUGUUCUCAAACACUGAUAUGGCUGCGGGGUGGCCCGAUCUUUUGAUGAGAUUGAUAACUCUCGAUUUGAGUAGGAUCGGACGUUGACGAUCUGACUACGGCCUAGAAGGCGGCGCCUUAGCAAUCGAUACACCGACUCCAGAGGGUUAUUGAUCACGCGGGGGCACGAUCAACCUGACCACGAAGGUCUUUGUUCCUGCAAGCAAUCGAAGAACAAGCAAGAAUAAGAUAAAUAACGGAUGCAAUCUGAAAUUGCGAAUAUACUAUACCAAACCAAUGUCUCAACGAGACGAUAAGUUGCGGUUCCGAAAGCGGUAAAACAGGUGGUCUAACCGAGACACGCGAUUACACGAAGUAGUAGCGAUGGCUAACUUUUAACUAAACAAAAUCCAAGGCUCCUUAGGGGAACACAUGGAGUAUAUAAAGGAGUAGGGAGAGCUAUUUUCGUCCACCUUGAGGAGGAGGCCGAAAUCAAGUAUAUCUCUAACUUUCCUAACAAACUACAACUCAUUUGGAAACGUAAAAACAUAUCCGUCAGCUUGUUUUGUCCUCCACGGUCAGCACGAGUCAAAUAUCUUGAUGGGACCAGAUCUGUUGGAAAGGUCUUGUAAUUAACUUUCCAACAAGUACUUGUUUGCUUGAUUUGGACUCCGGAUGUGGCCUGGGUGAUUAAAACAAAUUCGGGUCUCCUGACAGUUCGGACCCGAAUCGGAUUCAACUUUAAUUCGUGAUAUCUUUCUCUAUCAAGCUCCGAAUCAUGUGCCGUUUGAUUUGUUGGAAAGUAGACUUGAUAGGCUUCACUUUGAAUCUCCAUUUGCAGGCUAUCACACUUCAUCUUCACUUUGAACUUGUAAAGUUCAAUAAGAUGCCUACAUAAUAAGAUUACACAAGAUAGUAGCUCCGUCUCUUUGAAAGUAACAUAUUGAAAAUAUUUAAUAAUUGAAUUCACCUGAUUAUAAUUGUCAUUAGAUACACCAACAAUUAGGGUUCUAAUGAUCGUAUCCAUGGUGAUCAUGUCCAUAUCAAACACCAAUGAUUAUUUCUAGAUGCCUAAUUAAACAUCCGUCGUCUAUAGAAACGGGCAUCAAUGUUUAUACAAUAAACACCUCACUAAAGAUCGUGUAUUGUACAUGUCUUAGUGCACAUCAAAUACUAAGAGACAAUCUUCUAAUUCGUGGUCUAUACGAAAGAUUCGAAUCAUGGACUAUGUAGAUUGACAAAGUUUAACCAGUGUCAUUGAUGAUGAUGGUUGACACUGAAUGCCUAAAGGCAGGCCGAGGUCCAAGACAACGGUUAUAUCUUUUUGUCGAAUCUCAGAAUCACUGAGAAAUCUCGAAGCCCUUGUUAGUGGCAACUUUUAACUAUGUGAGAAACCUCGAAGUGAAUGGCGUCAUCAUGGGUGGCACUAGCUUUACCAUUGUGAGAAACAAAUAAAUGUGUGCUCGCGUGGCGUGACCCAAUCCUAGUGAGAAGAGAUGUGUAUCAUCAAAAUCUAUUACAAUAUAUUAAAUUGGAAUCGGUGGUGAUGGGUGGGCGCCGUUGGUCGGAGUUGGUCGGUCAACUUCGUUAAAAUUACAAUCAAUAUGCCAUUGCCCCUUAUUUUCUUUCCCUCCCGUCUUAUUCACGAUUUCAGUAACAGAAAUUCUACGGUUUAGAUUUACCAAAAGUUAUCGUACGGUCCAAAUUUGUCACAACAUAAUACGAACAGUCCUAAAAUAAAUCAAUCUUCUUAGCAUGAAAUCCAAAAUUCUUUGUAUCCAUCUCAGUAUGGAAAUCAAUCCGAACCCAAACAAAAAAUCUCGGUAUCAAUCUCGAAAAAUCAAUGUCCAGACUUCGCCUCCACCGGCUCGUGCUUGAUACACUUUCCGUUGUUCCGUAGCAUCGCACGGGUUCUUUUGCUAAAUUUACAAUAUUUGGUAGUUUGAUUGCAAGCCCUUAAAAUAUAAUCAAGCAAACUAAACAAGCACAAAUUAUUUAUGCCAAAAAAUCUCCAAUCAUUAUCAAUAGAGUGAAGUUAUUGAGCAGCCAUAGAACUCUCAAGUGAUUGCCUCAUGUAUCAACUCCGUUGCAUAAGAGAAGGGCCAUGCCUUGAUGGGAUAUCAAAUUGCGACCUAGAUUAAAUUGUACUCAUGUAGAUGAAAGAUCAACGCCGGAAUGGAUGCACCAUGACUAACCAUCUUCCAGUGACAGUUCCAAGUGAUGCGAGAUGGGACCCAUGGUCGUCUUGCCACAAAUAGUGGUUGAGCACCCACGAUGACACCCAUUGGCCACUACGGCCCACGCGCGGCUACAUUACCACGGCUUUCGAGCAACCUUGCAUGAAGAGUAAGGGCAUGCCACAGAGGGGCAGGGGAUUGUUGCUGCCAAUUGCAAAGGCAGCCACUAGUUGUCAUGCCUCAAAAUAUAUGUUUGCAUCAUAGCAAGAAAGUCCCAAAUCAUCAUCCUAAAAAUAAGCAGAAGACUCCUCGACGGCAAAAUUCAAAAAAUAAUCAAGCAAUACCAUAUUUGCCAAAUUAGUAGAACUUGAUGUUAACAUUAUAUUAGAACCACCUCCUAAAUCGCACAGACAACAAUAUCGUUGGAAACAUCAACUAUCUAUUUUAUUUUAGAAACAGGUACUCUCACAAACACAUUUGACGGUUCUGUGUCUCAUAGCAUGCCCAACAGAUUUGGUGAGAGAGAAGAUUUCUAGGAAGAAACAACUGUGCUUCUCGAUCGAUCAAGAGCAGCAGAUUACCUCAAAACCAUUAUGCUUCUAUUUCUCAUGUGAUUGUGCAUAUAAACUCCAAUUUAAUUGUAACUUCAUGAUAUAACUAAUUAAAUCAUGUGCCAUCAUCAGUCCCCUGGCCAUCAUAGCCGAAUCCUCAAGUUAUACACUUAUACUCAAAGGUAAGGUAAGUAAUCAAGUAACAAUAGGAUUCGAUCUGGUGUUCUACUGCCGAAUAACUGAAUUCUGUAUUUGUUCGUCAGUUCAUAUAUGUAGACCUCACACUCACACUAUGUGCGUACUAGUAUAACGCGUCCAUAUGUUUGCUACUUGUAAAUUUACGGAAAAUUUGUUACGGAGAAGAAGCACAGUUUUUUUCCUACAAAUCUUCUAUUUUCCGCGGAGUACUACUACAUUUCUACUACUCGUACUUAGUUAUCUCAAAGAUGAUUUGUAUGAGCAUUUGCCACGCAUUACACCAGGUUCUGCAGCGCCCGUGGCAUCGGCGGCAUGUGGACGGGGAUGACGCCCUCCAGCGCCUGCACGACCUGCGCCAUGGUAGGCCGGUGCUCCUCCUGGUCCUGGAUGCACCAGCACGCCGUCCUGCACGCCCGCUCCAGCUGCUCCUCGCUCACGUCGCCGCGAAGCCGCGGGUCCGCCACGGCGCCCACUUCCCCCUCGGCCACCUUCCCCGCCGCCCACACCGGGAAGAACAUCAGCACGCGCCGCCCUGCGUCAGCGUCGCUGCCCCCAUUGCUGUCCUCCUCCUCCUCGCCGCCAGCGGCGCCGGAUGAACUGCUUUGCCCGGCGCCCUCACCCUGGAGGUCGGCGUUGCGCCGGCCCGAGAUGAGCUCGAAGAGCACCAUCCCGAAGCUGUACACGUCCGCCUUGGCGCUGAUGGGCAGCCCGGAGAUCCACUCCGGCGCCAGGUACCCGACGGUGCCCCGCAUCGUGGUCAGCGCCCGGCUGAAGUCCCUCCCCACCAGCUUCGCCAUCCCGAAGUCGGCGAUCUUGGCGCACAGGUCCUUGUCCAGCAGUAUGUUCUCCGGCUUCACGUCGCAGUGUAUGAUGCGCUCCCGGCAGCCGUCGUGCAGGUACGCCAGCCCUCUGGCCACGCCCAGCAUGAUGCCGUAGCGGUCGCGCCAGCUCGGGCAUGAGCUGCCUGCCUUGAAGAGGUAGCCUUCCAGGGAGCCGUUGGGCAUGUACUCGUAGACCAGCAGAAGCUUGUCGUCGCCCGACGAGCAGAAUCCGAGGAGCCGGACGAGGUUGACAUGCUGGAUGCGCCCAAGCGUGUUCACCUCCGCCCGGAACUGCUUGUCUCCCUGCCGGAGACCUUCCAGCUUCUUCACCGCCACCUCGGUGCUGUUUCCCUCUCCGUCCUUGAGGACGCCGCGGUACACGGAGCCGAAGCCUCCCCCGCCCAGCCGCUCCGAGAAGUUUUUGGUGGCGGCGCGGAGGUCGCCGUAGCUGUACACGGCCAAGGAGGAGCCCUUCUCGUUGGCCAUGUUGCGCAGUCUUCGUCUCCUCCUGGAAAGAAGAACCCAGGCUAGCAGCGCCGAUGCGACCAAUGCUGCCACACAGGCCAACACGAUGCCAAGAACAACAGGCCAUUCUACUCCCCCUUUCUUCUUGCUUCCUCUGCUCAAAUCUCGCAGUCCUGAUUCUGAAAGCCGGAGAUGCAGCUCUGAACCCGAGGCCGUGGAGUCCGCGUACAGCUGCUGGAGGUUGCGGAACUCGCCGUGCCAGACGGCGCACCCGCCGCCGUCGGAGAAGGUGUAAGCUUGGCAAGAGCAGUUGUUUAGACAAGCCGACUCGCACUCUGCUUUGCUCUUGGCGUGGUCCAGGGCGAGCGGGUCGUCGGGAAGCUUAACAUUCGUCAGCGCCUGGAACCCGUCCGUGGUCGACCCGUUGCGCGCGCACACGAGCGGCGAGCUCCGGCGGCACCCGCCGGUCCAGUCGCUGAGCCUCCAGUCAUUCUCCGACGCCGGCUCGAGCCCGGGCGGGCAGCGGCAGGACGGCUGGCUCCUCUGGUCGCAGACGCCCAGGGCGCCGCAGACGGCGUACACGUCGCACUGCACGGUGGGCGCGGCCCAGAAGAACUGCCAGCUCUGGCUGGCGGGCACCCAGAUGUACUGCUUGGCCUGGCCCGUGUUGUCCAUGACCUGGCGCGUGAUGGUGGCGUUGUCGUAGAGCGCCCAGCUGAGCCGCCGGUGCGCCGGCGUCUCCACGUAGGUCUGGUUGAAGAGCACGUUGUUCACCGCCUCCGGCAGCAGAGCGAACACGCGGCCCGUCCAGACGCCGCUCCGCCAGUACAUGCGGGACCCGUUCCAGAAGUAGAAGAACUCGCUGGUGCCGUUGGUGUCAAUCGUGUUGCUGAACAGUCCCGGCGCCGGGUCCUCGGCGUUCCGCCACGACGUCAUCCUCUGGUACACGCCGGUGAGCUUGUCCUCCCCAAGCCACGCUUCCGGCACCAGCGUGUCCGUCGGGUGGUCGAAGCUCUGCCAGAGCACGUUGGAGGAGUUGCCGCCGUCGAGGAGAACCAGGUUGCCGUUGUCGCGGAUCUCCGCGGUGUUGUUGCUGGACCCCGGAGACGACAGAGACAGAUUUGACGACCACACGACGCCCGGCGCGGCCGAGCCGUCUGCAGUGAAGCCGACGAGCUCGAGGUUGCCGUCGUCAGGGGAUACCCGGAGCUCGGCGGAUGUGGCGUUGGACAGUGGGCUCGCGCGGUUGCCGACCCAGAUGACUGUGUGGACGGGGAUGUUCUUGUACCAGAUACCAAGGUAGAACCGGCCGGAGCUGCCAGGACUGAAGAGGCCGGCCUCGAACUUGCCCUGCGCCGAGACCACCGUGUCGUUGCCCCGCAGCGGCCGCCGCGCCGACACGGUGUCCGCCGCUGCCACGAGACAUGGAGCCAAGCAAAACGCGACGGCUGCGACGACGAUCAGUGACAUGUUAAUUUGCAGGUGGAUCGGAUAUGCUCCGGGAGGAGAGAUGGCGAGGCACGCAGUUCCUAUCGCGUUUGUACGCAGGCAGCUAUAUGUACGACGAUCUCGCGUGCGAACACAAGGUCUGACAUAUGGAUGACUCAUGUACAUUCAGUAGCUGGUUAUAUUUUGAUUUGUUCGACAACUGGAUUUUGUGAAUCCUUUAGUGGAACAAAAGUAGAAACAUUUCGUGGCUGGCAUUUAGCGUAGAGUAAAAUACACAUCCAGUUCAUGAACUCGACAAAAAUGAAUACUUUAGUCCACAAAAUCAAAAAACGCACACUUAAACCCCUAAACUGGGACAACCGUGUCACUUUAGUCCAAAAACGAUUGGACGAGGCUUAAACACGCCACGUGGGCGCCAUGUCGGCUUCGGCGACCCCUUCACCGGCGUCCUCUCGUCAAAAUUGAGCAUUGUGGGCUUGAUAGCGACCUUAGGCGAGGCAGCGGCAUAAACGGCGUGGUUCUCACGGCCCCAGAAUCUCCGUCUGGGCGCGGCUGCCUUGCCCCUCAUGGGCGCUCGGACAUGGUGAUUUUGCAAAAAAACAAAUCCUGAGAAAAUCGAGUAGCAGCCCGCGGUCCUGGCCGCCGACGUGGCGGUCAUGUGGCAUGUUUAAGCCUCGUGGAAUCGUUUUUGGACUAAAGUGACACGGUAAUCCCAGUUUACGGGUUUAAGUGUGCAUUUUCCAAGUUCGUGGACUAAAGUGUUCAUUUUUACCGAGUUCAUGGACUAGUGGUGUAUUUUACUCUUUAGCAUAACAAAGUCUAGAUACCUACUCCCUCUGUUACUAAAUACUCAAUUGAUCAAUUGAAUUAAUUAUAAUACGGGCAUACGAAUGUAUGAUCAAUUGGCUCGAAAUCCAGUCAUUGGCCAGACAAUGAUUUUCUCGUGUAAAAUAAGCCAGCCUAACGCGUCACCUGAAUACAUAGUGCAACUGCGCAGUCAUUUUCUCUUGCGAUUCCCUAAAGAAAAAAUCUCUUGCGACAAAAAAUUCUACAAAUGGUCAAUUCUCACAAAUAUUAACUAUAGAAUGUUUGUUACGGCCGCCCGGAAUACGAUCGACUUUUUUUUUUGAAGAAGGAUAUGAUCGACUUGAAGGCAUAAAAAAGGACAAGAGAGAACACGUAUGGUGAGAACGUACGGGGAGAACGGGUGCAAUGGUUGGUGUUCAACGAACGGGUCCGGUUGCUUCGAGCGGUCGCCAGAGUGAGCUAGGAGUCUUACAUGGUGACGUACGUGCAAACAGAUUUCCUGCCUUUGCACCAUGCCUGCUAAUUUGGUUGGUUGCAUUCCCUUUCUAGCUUUCGUGCAGGGUCCGUUAAGAGUUAAAAUAAGAGUAGCUUUUUGACUCUUGUUCAGGAGUAAUUCAUAGCGUGGUGGCAUCUGAUUAAUUAACGCACUUGAGACUGACCUCAAAUGCUCUGGCCGGCAUAUAAAGCGGGACUGACCUGAACACGCUUGAGACGGGGCGGCAUGGGCGUGGGGCGUGACUCUUUUUUUCUUGAGUAAACUGCCCCACUUUUAUCUUAUUAUACUAAAAGUAAUACCAGGAGUACCGAGAAGGGCAUACAUCGUUGAAUCCACACCAUCUCAAUUAUUCUGAUCGUUGGAUAAGAGCUAUGAAAAUAUCUGGCCGUCCGUUAUGUGGACCCGUGAUGAUCAACGUGUCAGCUAGCUAUAAGCGUUUCGCUUUGUGCCUAAGAUUCAAGGAUCGAUCCCCACUGCUGAAAAAAAAAGAAUUGAUCGUCCGUUCCCCAUAUUAGUAUCAGAAGGGAGAAAAAUGACCCUUCCCCAACCCAUCUUUCUUCGUCCUCUCUUGGCAUAUCUGAACUCUACAUCGCUGCCAAAUUUAGGAUCAGGACCACCUGCGCCACCAGCCCACCACCGGGGCCACCUUCUUGCCGCCUUUCUCAACUUGGCCCUGGACAAGCAGCACCGCCAGCGACGAACAGUGCCGCAGAUGUGCCGUCACCGCCAAUCUAGGACGAUCAACACAUGCCCCACGAAUAGUCUGCGACGCCGCUCUCUACUUCACCUCCGUUGUAACAGCCGUCGCGGCCACCCCAACCGCUGCCGCUACCGCCGAUCCCCGCACCGACAAAGGCAUCUUGCCCCGUCGCCGCCACCAUCCAAUCGUGCAGAGCCGGCCCUUGGUCAUGUGUCGUCUCCCCUCUCGGCUCAAUGGUGCCCUCCAAACACUUGUUGCCGUCCGCCGCGCAGGCUCACCCGUCGGAGUAGAGGACAAAGUGGACGGAGCAAGGGACGGCGGCUACACGAGUCGGAGCGAGUGCUUAACUUUUUGAUCUCAACUGACUCUUUCUGUUAACAAAUCACUAGGAGGUGGAUUUGGUGCUCGGAUGGGAUGACGGUAACGAGUGCACCUAUGGCGGAAGCUACCUAAAACGCUAGGCCGUCUUCUCCUGCCUCGCCUACGUGCUUAACUGCGUCGCUGGGGUCUGCGCUGCGUGCUGCCUCGCCUGUCAUGACGGGCAUGAGAUGAUCCCCGCAAUUCGAAUGCAUUUGCUUAUAUACAUAUCGACAAUGUUAUCUUAAUCAUGAGUAACGAAUCAGAUGGAUAUAUUAUAGUGCUCCAUCAACGGAAAGACACUCGGGUAGUCAUGAGGUUCCUCAAACUUCUUUAAAAUUACGAAUUUCAUGUCCUAUCCUGAUUAUCUGAACUCACAUAAUUUAAAAUGAACCACACAAAUCUUCUACUCAUAUGAAAAUUUGAAUCAUAAAAUAAGUAAGUGGUCGCCCGCGCAUUUGCGCGGGCCACUCUGCUAGUUAACUCAAAAUCAGAAAACAAGCAUGGGGACGGCCAGGAAGCGGCGAAUUCAGUUUCAGAUUUUCUGCUGCAGAAUUGGACAGAGAGAGAAACCGCUCCUGGGCCGAAUAACUAUCUAUAUAUAGCCCAUCUUGUUCUGACCUAGCUCAUGGGUUUCGGCCUGAUAUCAUCCUGUCGGAAUGUUAAAGACCAAACCAAGCCAGUAUUUUCUAAAAAAAACCAGUUGGGCUACCAAAAAAACUUUAAAGUCUAUGCCCUUGUAUUUCCCAACUCUUAAUUAAUAGAAUCGCCCCUGCAGUUUUCAUCGGCAAUAAAUUAUACAAAAUUCUGCUCGCGAAGUGGUAAAAACAUGCAGAAAAUCAGCUAAAACUAUUAUUUUGAUUUUACAAGUUGUAAGCAGGUGAAAUUAAGUGAGGGCGGACUCGCAUGAAUAUAUAUAUAUAUAUAUAUAUAUAUAUAUAUAUAUAUAUAUAUAUAUAUAUAUAUAUAUAUUUACCAUUGGUGUUUCGGAAGAAAAUCUUAUGCGACCCGGAUGGUACAACUUGAGGCUGGACCCAAUGGAUGGGCAGCCAUCUGGCCUAGUGGUGUGUUUAGAGGAGUUGGAAAUCUCUGCAUGGGAGUUGAGGCUCAAAAAGAAGGAUGAUCGAUCGGUCCAGCACAGGUCAUAGGAGCUCCGGCCGCAUAAGAUUUUUCUCCUUCCAACUGAUUUUUCAAGUAAGAGGCGGCAAAUGUAAAAUGAAAAAAAGCAAAAAGAAAAUCUAAAGAAGAAACUCUAACGAAAAGAUGCUAAAUCGGCUGUCAGAAGUGGGGUUUGAACCCACACCCCUCGUAAGAGGACCAAAACUUGAGUCUAGCGCCUUAGACCACUCAACCAUCCUAGCUAAUUAGAAUGUUUGUGUUUAUAAAGCUCUCCUGGAUAGGCCUGGGCUUCUACCGUGCGAAUGUUCGAACCUUUUUUUUUUUUUGCGGGUACGAAUGUUCAAACCUGACCUUCAGUAUUCUUUGUACGGAAUCAUCAUCAUGUAUAGUCUAGCUAGCGCCCCCUCCGUAUGACGAUGGAUGUCGGUCUUCUGUUUGAUGAGUCUAGGAUGUGUUUAGAUUAUGGCUAAAUUGUGUCUCAUUAUUAUUUUUUGUCAAAACUAAAUAGUUGAUCGUUGUUUGUAUGGUUUCAAUUCAGUGGCAUGCUAAUGUUUCCUUUCACACAACAAUUUAUUUUUCUUGUUAAUGUUGGCCAAUUCGUUGGAAAGCAAAAUCUUGGCUGGACAACUUUUUGGUAGGAUGAACCUAGGCUAAAACAGAACACACACGAAGAAUUUUCACACAAGCAGUUUUUAGGUGAUCAUAACCAUUUUACACUUCGGUUCUUUCCAACAUGGUGGUGGUGCCUCAAGCAAGAAAAGUGUUCUGCUCGCUCAUUUGGUGUCACAUCCGUUUGUCCAGCCUUUGGGCGGACGCUUGUUGAGGAUCCUAGAUAGAUUAUAGACCCUAUCGGCUGUCACAAAAGUCAUUGUGGCGUUGAAAGGCAGGGUUCUCGUUACCAUGCCCGAUAGAUGUUGUUGGAUUAAUAUGCAUUUAAAUAGCUGACCACAUGUAUAGCUUCGGCAUAGUCUUACCAUACACAUAUAGUAUUGUGUGCUUAUUCUUCUUAUUUUGUAAAGUAAAUUUAAUUUCAGUAUUAUUUGGAAAAUUUCUCCAGUAAAUGAGUGGUCAUUUCCGGCAACUUUAUGUUUAUGUGAUUUUUGUUUCAAAAGUUGUGGUUAUCUAAUAUCAAAUCCUUAAAUGUUGUGGCUUCAUUAUAGUAACACAUUCUAUAAAAAAUGGUCGAUUGUUCUAUAUAAAAAAUAUUCGGUAAAAUUGUUAUUGUUUGAGGAACUAGCCUGUGUAAGGGAACGCACCCAGCUAGCUAGCAACGAACUAGACCUAGAAAAAUAAAAAAAAUCCUGGAAGGAACUUUUGCUUGGACAGCGUACGUAAGCACAGUGCAGCAUAAUUUUGACUGAGCACCUUCGGCUCUUUUAGCAACGUCGACUUGAUCAAUCUUGCUGCAAACGAUCGUGCUUUCCCUUUGGAUGGUGCGGCCGGCUGCAAAUGAUCGUGUCUGGGGGUUUGGCAGUUGGCACUGCCUGCUAGUAGCCUCCUCCUAGCUUCCCUUUCCAUUCAUACGGAGACAUAUGUACGUGACGAAUGUAAACAGCGAUCGACGUACUCCUACAUCACAGCAUCCCGACAAGGCUACAAGAAACAUUGCCAAAAUGUCACGUGUGAGAUUUCCGUAAAAUUCUUGUCUCAUCUAGUCGCCUAGGAACAAAUUCAACUAUUGUUUUCCCCUAGGAGGCUCGAGCUAGCAGUCUAAUCUCGACAUCAACAGGUAGUAUGGAGGUAGGUUGUUUUGUUUAGUGAAGGAUAUGAUAAGAUGCGCUUUAUUAGGCAAUGAUAGCGCAUCCAAUCCACUCAUGCGCCAAGUUCCGCGUGGACCGAACGAGGGUUUGAUGGUUGAUCGAGUGUAAAACAUCACUGGGUAUUCCCUCCAAAACUGCGGGUCGUCGUGUUCUUCACAGGGACUAGGCGAUCUACAAUUGAGUUAGGACUAAAGCUAGGUGAAUCAAUCAUAAAGGGUAAUAUUUGAACCAAAAAUAAAGACAACAAUGCAGCAAUGAACAAUAUUUUUGUGAUUUUCGUUAAUAGAAGUAGCAGUGGACAGAAAUUAAUUACUAGGCACCCAAAUUAAUCACAAGCAAACAUAUAAGAAAGAAGAAGCAAGUUGUUUGGGAAAGGGAUAUAGUACAUAACAUGGCAGCACACACAUAUAUAUUAUGACAGAAGAUUAAACCACACUCACUUGUACAAAGCAUAAACAGAUCUCAGAACAAGUACAAUUAUGUAGUCACAAUCUCAGGUGAUGAUGCAAUAGCUCACACAAAUCCAUCACAAUUCAAGAACUAGACAAGAUUAGCAGAGGAGAAGACAUGGAUAGAAUGAAAUUUGUUCCUAAUCCAUGUGAGCAUUACAACGAACACUUUGCAAUCGGAAUCAAGUUCUCCACGCAAUUCACAGAAACAACAAGGAAAGAAGGAGAAAAGGGAGGGAUUAGAUGGGGAUUAACCCAAGGUGAAGGAGCAGCACAAGUUGGAGAAGGGGAAGAAACUUAGGUUGUUCUUCGUGCUCGCCGGAGUCACUUGUUCUUCGCCGGAGAAGGGAAGAAGCUCAGCAGCUUGGCGAAUCAUGGAGGAGCUGCAGCUUGCUGUUGAUGUAGACGAGGAGAUGGGCUGCAGCUGCUGCCCUGCGACGUGGAGGAGAGGCAGCAGCAGGUCGGGGGCACGGGGCAGCAGCAAACUUGGUGGCACGGCGCGUCGCCGGCCUGGCCGCCGCGGCGGCCGCUGGUGGAGCAGCAGCAGGGAGAGGGAGGGGAAGUAUGGCAGGCCUGAGGCUUCGUACGUGAAUAGUUAGGGAUUUCAAUCCCCACUCCUCUGGCUAUUAUGCAUUCUAGCCCUUCUACUUUUCUUCCUCUCCCACAAGUAGAUCUUUUUCUCUUCAUAUAAGCUCUUGCUUUCUUGUAUUCUUUAUGCUCAGGUCCUCAAGAAUAAAGCUUCAUUUGCAGCUUGUGCAAAAUUAGGAGAAAGUGUGCCUUUUCGCACCGAUCUGCAGGAAAUAUAAAUCAAAGUGUAAAUUUGCUCAUUUGAUCACAUAUUGUACUUAUAGCAUUCAGUUUUGAGGCAAAAAGAGACUAAAAUGGUGCCAAAAGGUAGGCAAAUAUCAUGCAAAUAUGACCUUGAUCAAUGGUGACAAAAGAACUGCCCAUCUCUGCCUAUUAGGCAGGAGCACGGUGCAUCCAGAACAAUGGACAAAGCAGCAGGGCGGCUGCCUGCUCGCCAAAGGUCUUCUAGAAGGCGCACACACCAACCAACAUCCCCUGGUGUUCACUCCAAAAGGAAGUAUUGACAUGGAGCACUUGUGUGGUUUGGGUAUUGUGCUGGCUAGUAAUGCUAACCCUUUUAAUAUGGAGAAUUGGAGUUAAAAUAAACAUCCAUAAUAAGUGUGCUGGAUUAACUUAUUAUGGACCGGUGACAUGUACUUCCUACAACCAUAUGAACGGUUCAAUGCAGAGUGUCGUACAAUGAACGGACAAGAAAUGUCGUACGCAUAGCAUCGUUCAAUAUGUUACUUUUCUAGUAACAUAGAUUAGUAACAUGUCUGCAUCCGUGCUUUUACUAUGGAAAUGUCACCCGUGUGUGCAAAGUUGCAACAGUCGGCCGCUCUUCUUCUCGCUCCUGCAAUUAACUUGCUCGGCCUUUCAAGCGAAGUCAUUGGCACACUCAAUAUUUUGGAUUUAUGGAAUUGUUUUGGCCGCCCAACGAAGCGGAAAUGGGUGAGUAUCAUUUUGUCGCUAAAUUCUUGCACCGAAUUGUUACGUGGCUGUUAUCUGCAAAUUUACCUUGUUUUGCAUAACCGUAUCAAACCACGAGCACUAUUUAGUAAGAAGAAAAACUCUUAGAAAACUAAUACUCCCUCCGUCCCAUAUUAAGUGCCGAAAUAUUACAUGUAUGUAUACGUAUUUUAGUAUAUAGAUACGUUUAUAUUUAGACAAAGUUGAGUCACUUAGUAUGGGACGGAGGGAGUACAUAAAUCAUAAACAUAAUCAUAUCAGCAUCUUAAACGUUAACAAGACAAUAAUGAUCAUCAAGAGAUGGCCCCAAUUUUUAGCAAAUUGUUUUUUGUUGUAGUCCAGCAGCCUAUUGCCAGAGUCAUGAGAAAAAAGGGUCCGGGUUAGCUGCAGUUUAGAUUAGAUGGAACGAAAGCCUCGUAAAGAAUUUUUGAAUUUUACUCUACUGCUAGUGAGCUUGCACGUGCAAUGCACGUCUCCACAAUACAUGGCAACUUUUUAAAUUACCUUUUUUAUAUGAUGACUCGUCUUUCUAUAGUUUUUUUGUCUAUCUUAUUUUUAAACCAAAAUGCUAAAAUUGAGCCUAAAAAGAUGCCCGCAUUUUUUUUCUUCAUAAAAUCAUCAAAUCUAAACCAUGAUGAUGAUAAGUAAACAUGCACCCUAACACACUGAAGUAGAAUCAAUCUCAUUCGAACAUAGAAAAUAUUCAAAAUCAUCAAAUCUGAACCAAUUAAGGAUACAUGAUUUUUUUAACACAUGAUGUUAUCACAUCUCACCUGACACAUCUACUCAACAUGUGAAAAAACAACUCCAGUCUCAAAUUUUGUUGCAGGGAAAAGAGUGAGAUAUCACCUCAGUUGCCGCUUGCUGCUAAUUAACAGAAGCUAAAUCAUUAACAAGAAACAUCAAUCUUGGCAAAAAAGAAGAAGAAGCAAGAAUGCUGCAAGGGAAAUAGAAAACUGCUGUGAGAUUAUUUGCACCAACCGGACUAAAGAAUGCCCUCAGAUUCCACGUCAAAUUGACUGAAAAAUUAAAAAGUUAUGACCAAGUGAAAUUUGAUCCGAAUAUUGUUGUUUGGCCAAAUUGAGAACUGAAUUCAUGUCUGCAUUUCCUGUCUAUAAUAUGGUUUGUGUGUUAUGUGAAUUCUCACUUGCAUGGAACAUUUACGGAAACUGCAGUCCUUCAUGAUCUAUUGAAAUCCUAUUUAUAGUCCACAAGAUUCCAUAUUUACAACUUGCAGCUACCUCAAGACUGAACUGAUCAAGCAAUAAUAGGGUAUAUUUAGAAAAUGCGGCUCCUGCUCUCAAUCGAUUAUCUACACCUUUCAUUGUAUUUUACCUAAUGAAAAAGACACCAAAACAAGUGUUUUAGACUUGUAAAUUAGUAAACUGAGAAAACACUAAAUAUUGGAUCCCUAUCGGCCGGCUUCUCCCUACUCCAAAGAUCACGGACAAUUUCUUCAGAAAAUGUGUUUUUUGUCAUCCCUGUGAAUGUUAGGAACUGAAAUUGAAUUAAUAUGUGCUCCACAUCAGAAUGAAGACAUGCAUUCAUCCACUUGAAAAUGAAGACAUAUUUAAAAUACAUGAAUGGAAAAAUAACUUCACGAGAGGAGCCGAUAUACCUUGUCCUAUAACGUGUCAAUCCCUUUUUGCUACGGCGCUUCAGUGCCAGAAAUACACUCAUGCCAUCUUCUUAGCCCUACAUAUUAUACAGGACAUAGAAUUCAGUCAUUCAUGCUUGAAAAAAUAUACUAUGUGAACCCAAAAAUAGGAAUUGUGGAGACCAUUGCUCAUGUAGGCACACGAAACAUGAAAUAUAUCAAAUUUCUCAACCCAAACUCUAAAGUACCAUCUCUAACUCUGUGCCAUCCAUCGACGGGUGAGAAUGCACAUGAUCCUUCUGAAGGACUACCACUGCGCCACCAUGCUUAAAAUUAUACUUGAAAAUGCAAGGUACUUAGAGAAAAUCACCGUAAAUAAAAUAAGAUACUCCCUCCGUCCAGCAAAAGAUGUCUCAAGUUUUUUCUCAAAAUUUGAAUGUAUCUCUAAGUCAUGUAUAGAUACAUUCAAAUUUAGUCAAAGUUGAGACAUCCUUUGUUAGACGGAGGAAUACUGAAAUCUUCCAGCUCGACAUGCAAAAUUGCCCAUAAUGUAAUCUGGUUUAAGCCUGAAUGUACGAUUUUGCAUACAUGGAUAAUAAACUGCGAUUGCGGCUCUAUGUUUAGAUGUCAGGCACCAGCUAAUUAUCCAACUAAUAAUACCCCGUACAAUAAUUUUAAAACAAAACUUCACAGCAAGAUAGUAGAGACGUACUACAAAAUGCAUGGAAACUAUGGCAUUCUGUCAAACACGGAGUUUACAGAACCAGCAAGGGUGGAGAUUGGCUAAACAUGAAAACCAAGGAGUUGAUGAGCCCAGUCCGUGCAUCCCAGAAGCAAAGAAGGAAGGGGAGGCGUCAGGUCAGGGUAAGGCGGGGGAGGCAAGAGGAGUCUGGCGUCGAGACUCGGGUCAGGGCAAGGCAGGGGAUUCAGCCGCGGGGCUGCGAGAUGGACGCGGCGGUACGAAGUCCACGAGCGUUGACAAACGCGACGGCGACUGGGCACCCGCGCAGAUGAGUCGGCAGCUGCUGGUCGGGGCAAGGCGGGGGGAUUCGGUGCCGGCGAGGGCAGCAGGCGCGGGAGGGCAGAGGCGGGGGCAGCGGAGCGAUGGCGGCGCGUGAUGGAGUGGAGGCGCGGUUGGACAACGUAUGUGGGAGGGCAGAAGCGGGGGGGGGGGGGGGGGCGUGAUGCGGUGGGCUCUGGAAGGCGGGCGCGCGCUUGGCGGCGGCGUUGAGCGGGCCCGACGCGGGAGAGCAGCGAGGGUGGCGGCGGGCGCGAAGGGAUGCGGGAAGAUGCUUCGUGCGGAUCGGAGUCGGGUGACAGAGUAUGUCGGAUGUUAAUUAAACGCUAAGCGUACACAGAAAAAAAUUUGGAGUGUAAAAGCUAUGUUAGUUCUGAUUUAGUGGGCCUAAUUGUUUAGUAAUUGUGAGGUGAGAAUGGUUUGCGUGUUUUUUGUGGGGUAAACCUAGAAAAGAAAAUGUUGGUGAUUUUAUAAGUAGUAUAGAUUAGCAUCGCAUAAAAAAUGAACUGUUCUCAUUCUCCGUGAACCUAUCCCAUUCAACCGGCGUUGAACCAGUGAUACAGUGACAGGCAGUCUUUUUUCCAACGAUCUGCCUACCUCUCCUCUCCUUCCUCGCUCCCUGAGGAGCUGGCAUUUGGCACCUCCAUUCGCUCCACCACUCUCCAGUCUGUCUUCUCCCCCGGCACACUCCACCUGACCGUCUCCCCAGGAGCAAGAGGAGGAAGUAAAUAUAUUACGGAAUUCCCAGGUCUCUCUUCUCUCAGCUGUUCCCAAGAUCGCAUUCCCAAAUUCGCAAUUCGCGUGCAUGUUGCUGGCCCAGAUCCGAUAUUCUCUCGGAGGAGCCAGGAUUUGCGGGAGGUGUUACUGAAUUGCCGGCUCUCUGGUUUGAUGCAGGCUUCUUGGGCCUAGUUGAAGGUGAAUUGGCAUCCAGGGGGUUGACUUGACUGGUGGUUCCCCCGGCGCCGGAGAUGGGCAAGGGGGGCGGCUGCGUCCCCAGCAAGAAGCGCCAGCCGCCGGCUACCACCGUCGCCGCCGCGCCCUCGUCGUCAUCCGCCGCCGCGGUGCCGCGGGACGCGCCCGAGGAGGCCCUGGACUCGGCGGCUGAGGAGCCCAGGCGGACGCUGCGGCUGUACAUCGUAUUCUACUCGAUGUACGGGCACGUGGAGGCGCUGGCGCGUCAUGCGGCAGCGGGGGCGGGCGCGGUGGAGGGGGUGGAGGUCGUCCUGCGGCGGGUCCCGGAGACGCUCUCGCCGGAGGUGCUGGAGAAGAUGCAGGCGCCGGACAAGGACCCCGCCGUCCCGGUCAUCGCAGCGCCUGCCGACCUGGAGGAGGCUGACGGGGUGCUGUUCGGGUUCCCGACCAGGUACGGCGCCAUGGCCGCGCAGAUGAAGGCCUUCUUCGACUCCACGGGCUCCCUCUGGGAGAAGCAGGGGCUCGCGGGGAAGCCCGCCGGCUUCUUCGUCAGCACCGGCACCCAAGGCGGCGGCCAGGAGACCACUGCGUAAGCAUAUCAUCGCCUUUUCUGCACAUAUGAAUUAAUUAAUCUAUCAACUAUUUCAUCUUUAUGGUAGUGCUCGUUAUGAUGCACUCAAGAUUGGUACCGUUGAUUUGGUUAUUUAAAGUACGGAGUAGACAAUAUUGGAACACUUCCUCUUCCAUUCAUGGAAUUAAUUAUCACAUGUUAGGUAUUUUUAGGUGUUGAACUGAAUGGACAAAUGUCAUAUAGUAGGUAUUUUAGGUGCUAAACUGAACCUUAAGGUGGAUACAUCAACAUAAUUCUAAUCAGUGCACUGUGAGGAACUUCUGAUUUUGGUGGUGUUUUUAAGUGCUUCUUCAGCCCAUAAGGUGUCAUUGGCAUACCGUCUGUGUUUGCAAUAAGCAAUCCAUGAACAAGUUCUUUAUUUUUGUUAACAUCAUAUUCUCUUGUACUUUGUUCUGAAGAUUGAUUUGUUGGUCCUUCGAAAGCCUGAAUUUUCAGCAUGAUGUCAACGUUAGAUCAUUUGCUCUUGGACUCCAUCCAUCCAUAUUGUUUGUGUGUUCACCACAAACUAGGCGGGGAAUCUGACUGAAAGGGGAGUUCAACAUACACAAUUUCCAGCCAGAGUGCACAUUGGUGUCUUGACAAAUUUCACGUAAAUUGUCCUCAGGGGCAUCAAAAUCAAGUUAAUAUCAUAAACUAACAUGUACAGAUCAUGGUGGUGACACAAUAUGGCAAUGAGGUGCCAUACUAAUAGUAUCUACUAUUUAAAUUGCUAAUGCACUGUUUUCUUUACAACUAAAUCAUUAUGGCUCUGUACUGUGAGAUUAUUAACAAAAGAGAUAGAGUGACCGUGGAUGCAUUUAAGGAUAAUAGGACACUGGAUGUGAUAUGUACAAAAGGGAUCCAUGAGUUAAUGUCAUGGUACCAGACUACUUCUAGGCUUGUACCUAAUCAGCAUUGGUUGUGCUACUGUUCAACCUAGUGCCCAUGCUAAGAACGAGCCGUCAGAUUUACAAUCUGUUAGCCAUGAUAAACAUGGACAACAGAUAUAGCGUUCAGGAGUUCCUGUGAUAGCAGAGAAAAUUCAUUUUGCUCUAAGUAGUUUAUCUGCACCAUGCCUGAUACAAUCCAUCUCUAACAUGACAGGUGAUGAUGAAAAUCAAUUAGCAUAGAGGAAAGCAUUAGCUGGUUUUACCUCUCUUGAUUUCAAAAUAAAUAUUACCUUGUCAUGAUUGUGCUGUGUUCUCAUGUCAGUAAAAGUUGAAUGUAUCAGUUUAUGCCCGCUGCCUAGUAAUUUGUUUGAAAUGCUUCUGUACUCUUUAUCUGCUUCCGUUGGUUUUCAGUCUGUGUGUUCACUCACUCUGCUUGUCUUUCACUGACUGGCCAUAUAUGCUUUGGUUGUUCACUGCAGUUGGACGGCGAUCACCCAGCUGGUGCACCACGGGAUGCUCUUCGUCCCAAUCGGCUAUACCUUCGGCUCUGGCAUGUUCAACAUGGAUGACAUCAGAGGAGGCAGCCCCUACGGUGCUGGAGUCUUUGCUGGCGACGGCAGCAGGCAGCCCAGCGAGGCAGAGCUUUCCCUUGCCGAGCACCAGGGCAGAUACAUGGCUGCCUUCGUGAAGAAGCUCGCUCAGGUCUGAGGCAGAGCCGGAUCUAGCAGAUGAACCAUCCAUCCCUGUGCAGCCAGUCAGCGACACACCAUUGAUCAGCUAUUGUUUUCCUCUUCAGCUACACAUGUUCCUAUCGCCCAUAUAUGUGCACAGCUUGCGGUCAUAGUGUUUGUCGAAGUAGUCAUCAUAUAAUUAAGUUGAGGUUUAUUUGUACAUCUGUUGACAUAAAUAUUUUUUAUUGUGCAUUUGGAAAAUAAGGUCCCGUUUGGAACUUGUGGGUUCUUCUGAAUUGCUGUGGGGAUUGAACUGAUUGAUGUGAAAGAUUGUGUGCAAAGCUUAUUGCUAGUACUUUGUUUUCUGAAGAAGAGCAUGUUUAUUUAUUUUUCUUUGUCACCCUUCGCUACUGAUGCCCUGUCUGGAAUGUGAGAUUUUCCCAAAUUCAUGCACAAGUUGAACAUUCCUUAUGAAAUGCCCUGGUUCUGUUUUUGUAGGCAAUUUUUUUGCUUCUUAGGAGUCUUUUUUUAUUUUAGAAUUCACAAAGAUAUUUUUAUUUCUCAAGCGAAGUUUUAUUUUAGAGUGCGGCUAUAUCUCAGACGCGUGAUUUUUUAAGCAACAGGGUUAAAUCUCAAUCAACGCACUAGAACCGUUGGAUUAUGGUCUACACGUCAUUCCCACUCACUAAUGCAAUCAUUGGAUUAAGUUCCAAGGGCAAAUCAUGUAGACUUAUGUCUAAUUAAAAACGGGUUUGAUAUUGAGAAGUAGAGUAAAUUGCACGGAACCACCACAUUUCGGUGACUUAUUACGAAAACCACCGAUUUUGCUAAUUUUCGCGCAGAACCACCGCAUUCAGUGAAGUUGUUGCACAUAGCACUAAUUCUGUCGAUUGCUCCGUAUAAACGCGUUUCUGACCGACCGGAUCCACAUGUCAGGUUGACCAGGCCGAGCCGGCGUUACGCCGUCCGUUAGCCAGGUCUGUAGAAGCCUUUCUCCUCUCCCGCUGACUACAGGCCCCACCAUCAUCCUCCUCCUACUAGUGCAUCCGCUCGCCCUUGCUCCCUAUCAGCGCCGGCCGCCUCGCGCGCCGCCCCGCGCGGCGCUGCUGGUCCGCCACCGCGUGUCUUCGCUGCAUCCCCCCGCGUUGCCUGGUUCCGCGCUGCUGCCGCCCCCCGCCCCUACCGCCGCUGCUGCCCGCCGCCGCCCUAGCCUCCCCACGCGUCGCUGCUUGCGCGCCUGGCCAUGCGCGCCCCUCCGUGCUGCCGCCGCCCCUGCUGCCUGCCGCCGUGCGCGGCCCCCCUCCCUACGGCCGCUCCUGCCUGCAGUAGCGCGCGCCGCCCCAUCGCCACCGUCGCGCUCCGCCGCUGCUGCCGGCAGCCUGCGCGCGCCGCUCCUGUCUGCCGCUACUCCUGCCUGCAGCAGCUCUGCCGUCGCGAGCGCCCCGCUCCGCGCGCCACCGCUGCUCCUGCCUGCAGCCGCAUGCGCCGCCCCGCUCCGCGCGCUGCCCCUUCUCUCCUGUGCCGCCGCGAGCGCCCUGCUCCGCGCGCCACCGCUGCUUGGUUGCGAGAGAAGAGAGACAGCAGGGAGGAAGAGAAGGGGGCGGGGAGCUAGCCGCUUCUGCUUGCCUAGACGGCAUCUCGGAGCUGCGCGCGCUGGAGCUGUCCACGUGGCUGCUCGCCGGAGAGAAAGAAGAGAGAGGGAGUAAUCCAAGUGGCUCUCACAGACGGCGUUAACAUCAGUUCGGCCCACUCAACCUGACAUGUGGGAUCGGUCGGUCAGAAACGCGUUUAUACGGAACAAUCGACAGAAUUAGUGCUAUGUGCAACAACUUCACUGAAUUGCGGUGGUUCUGCGCGAAAAUUAGCAAAACCGGUGAUUUUCGUAAUAAGUCACUGAAAUGUGGUGGUUCCGUUCAAUUUAGUCUUGAGAAGUAUCAUGUUUUUUAGUUCGAGGCCAGUCGACAUUCCACAUGUUUAACCGUCAAAUCUUAAUCCAACGGUAGCACGUGGAAGAGGGAAAAGUGAAUACAACUCUAAGAUUUUAAUCCAACGGUUUUGAUAUGUCAGCUGAGAUUUAGGAUCAUUUACUUAAAAAUCAGGUGACAGAAAAAUAGCCACAUCCAACUAAAGACAGACGACUUAGCAAAACUAUGAAAUCUGAAAUACCAUUCAGCCAGCCCAGCGGCCAAGCUCCGGCAAAUAAAAGAAAACUAUAAAUUAAAGGCGUCUCUAAAAUAGGGGUGGACACGUUAAACUCAAACCUUGUAAACCCAAUUGAACCCGAAACCUUGUAAACCCAAUCGAACCCGAAUAAACCUAAUUGUCGGUCUAUUCAGGUUCGGUUCCAUUUUCGGCCUUAUUUGGAUAUUGUGUCCGGGUACGGGUUUGACCCCAAGAAACCUGAAAAGACUGAAAUACCGCUGCUGCUAUUUAACUUUUGCCAAUUAUGGUGUGAUGUCGUUGUUGCGGUGGUAUCUAGUUUAUUUUGAGGAGUAAGUAACAACGGUCUUCUACUAUUCGAUCCGAACAGACCGACCGGAUAUAUAGUCGGUCUAUUGGGUUUGGUGCUGGUUUAUUUUUACAGAAAUUCGGUUUAAUAGUCUAGAAACCCGAGCCCAUAGACCAAAUAAAACCAACCGAACGGAAUGCCCUGGCCUACUUCUCCGGUGCGUACAUUUUAAAAUUUUGAAAUCGCUCUUCGAAGCCGCAGACCCGCAGUUGCAGCAGUCUCUUCUCCUCCUCUCCCUUCCCGUUUGCGUCGCCGAGCCACGCCCGGAACGCCUCCUCGGCCCCCGCCUGCCCAUAGCCGUUCCGUCGCGGUCGCCGUCGUUCCCGCUGCCGGUACGAGCACCCCUGUCCUCUCCCCCACGUCCCCUUCUGCAGGAUCUUCGAUCUGAUCGCGUGAGGGCCGAGAUUCCGUUAUGGCUCUAAGUGCUGAUGUGUUUGAUUAGGCUUUAGAGUGGUUGUAUUUAUGCAGCGUGAUCGUCUAUUGUUGUCGCUCCGUAAAUCGUGACGAUAAGGAGCCACGAUUUGGUUGCCUUUUUGGUUCGAAAUCCCGGGAACAUUGAUGCGAUAGCUCUGUCUUAAACAUAUAUGCAUGUUGUUUUCUGAACACCAAGCGAAGGGAGAUGAUGACAUCGUUUGAUAUGGACUCUGGAAGGAUGUGCUACAAACCUGAAUUUUGUUAGAACAUGAAACAGAGGAGAGGGCCGAACUGUAGUUUGAAUUUGGGGGAAAUUGGAGCUUGAAACUAUCGAUGAAAACAAUCAAACUUAGCGAGUUAGGAUAGAUCAUCCAUUAUCUUUCCUGAAUCAGUAACUUUAGAGAUUUGUAUUGAACAUGGAAGGUGCAGUGCCAAAUUUCAUGUUUCUACGGUGGGCUUCACAGUCAAUUGUAUUUCCUGUAUCCUUAGAAAUGAAAACAGUUCUGAGUACUGACAUUCAGCAUACAGUAUAAUUCAGUCAAAUUGAUAUGGACUGUGUAUGUCCUCGCAGUGCUUAUUAUGUGGGGCCAGGUUUACAGCCCACGCAAGCGGGCAGGUCAGGAGUGCAGGCAUGAGCCAAGAGGAGGCGUCGGUGCAUCAGAUGCUGGAGAUACUGCAUUUCGGAUUCACUGUUUGAGCCGAUCGGCAUAUGCUGCUGUGUUGAGAGCGUUCUGUGCUCAGUCAUACCUUUUUCCAGUGGUACUUCCCAUGGAUAUUUCCUUUUAAUCCUACUAGUUCUAUUGCAAUAUAUCAAUAGUUAAAUCAUAGGUAAUUGGAUUGGUCGGAACGUUUUGUUAUAUUAAAUUCUAUUAAAUUUGUAGUAUACUCUUGAGUUUUGACCAAGACAUAAUAUACUUUUUUCUGCAUGUAACUUCCAGGAAAGGUGGUUUAUGCCUCACUAGUCAGGCUCUUAUUUUUUUCCUGCAUCUAGAAUUUCCACUUUAUUUCAUCUGGCAUGCUUUUAGACUGCAUGAAUUAUUUUGCAUAGCAUAAUUAGAAUUUAGCACAGCUUUAGCUAAAUUUGAAUGUUUUCAAUGCUUGUUACUUUUGACUUAUUACAGGCCAAGCAAGAAUGUCUUGCUGAAUUGAGAAAUGGACUUAAAUUAUCAGGCAGUGAGCACCAAGAAUGCAUUGUAAAGGCCAGUACAAAUAGCCAUAUCAAGUCUUUAAGGUGAAUAUUUACAAUUUACCUAAACAGGGUAUUGUAGUAUUGGUUCCCAGAAUAAAUAAAAAUGCCGACAGAAGUACUUGAGAUUUGAUCUGUUGUACAGUUUAAAUAUCUAACAUUUUUCUAAAUUUGGUUCUGUAAUUGACAUCUAGUGCCAGUUUCUUAUUUCCAUAGUGGUCAUAUCAGUUUUUCUGUUCCUGCCUCCUUACUGAUGUAAUUUUUGCCCAAAACUUGACAACUGUCACAGAACGGAUCUGUUGAUAUGGUCGUGCAUGUCGUAUUGCAGGUAUGCUUUAUACAAGGGAAAGAAUGGUAAUGCUGAAGCUAUGAAGGGUUCUCUAGGUCUUGCAUGUGUGAUACCAGAUGCUGGAGAUGCUGCAUUUCAGAUUCACUGCCUGGAGAGAUCAGCAUUUGCUUCUGUGUUAAGAGCUUUCUGUGCUCAGUCAGACCUCCUCUCAUGGGUAUAUCUUUCAUUUUCAGCCAUACUUCUUGUACUUGCAAGUUAAGUUGUGAGAGAUCACUAAGAAAAUCACAAAUAAUAGGAAUUGCUGGACCAAUUGCAGGUUUUGUAUGCAUAACUUGGUCUUCAAUACUAACUUUUGUCUGUAAAUCUUUAAAAUUUCGUAUUCAACCUCUGGGGAAAGGUAGUCUGGUAGAACUUUCCAUUUGUUUUUCUCCCUUUUGACUAAAGAAAGCUUCUGCCAUAAUUUGUUAUUCCUGUGUUUUUUUAUACCGGUUCUCAUUCUUUCUGCAUUCUUUUGUUCUUCUGAUGAGUUAUUUUGGAUAUCAUAAUUAGCGUGGGUUCAUCUGUUUACUUUUUCAUCACUCUUUACCUUUAACAUCUUGCAUUUACAGGCCAAGCUUAUUAAUAAGCUGAGAAAUGAACUUAGAUUAUCGGACACUGAGCAGCGAGAAGUUAUUGCGAGGGUCAGUUCAGAUGACUAUAUCAAGUCUCUGAGGUGAGCAUGUCUAGCCUUUUUAGAAAACAAAGUUAAUGCUUAUUCAAAGACUUGCCUGAACUGCAGUUUCAGAUAUAUAAUCUUUCUCUGUAAUGGGCAGGAAAUACAGUUUAGCUAAUUACUCUGGUCUUACGAAGAAGACUCUUGCUUUUGACGUACGUGUUGUGGUUCCUGAUAAGAUUGACAAAACUGGACAAUCCUUCACCUCAUCGGCUCAACAAUUACCAAUGCCAGCAAACACAACGUCACUAGCAAGGUGGCAAUGUCAGAAAUCAAGUGAAGUUGGAUUUUCUGCAGUUUCACUGAACAAUAUUUACUUAUGGUGCAGGAACAUUGGCAUAUUAGGUACCUCUCCUACAGCCAAAAACGGUCCUUGUUUUGGUCUUCACGCCGUGGUGCCUGCUAAGAAGUUGAAAUCUGGAAAUGGGAGUGCAUUAACAUACUUUAAAUGCCCCCCUUGCGCUGAACAAUCGCCGGUGGCAGUUUCUUCUAUGCUGUCGGUAUGUAUUCUUAUUUUUGGAACAUUCAAAAUUAGUCUGGAAUGGAAGCUGUACAUGUUUCUGUGCCUCUGCCGACAAUUAUAAUCUCCAUCGGUUCCUUUCAACUGCAAGGUCUUGAAAAAUGAUGUCCAAACUUUUCUGAAGGAAACUAUCAUAGUUCAUCGAUAAUAUGCCCAUGUAUAUCUGUUGUGUGAAACUGUCAAUUUUAAAUGACUAGAAAGAACCUUCUUAGAACGUCUGUGUAGUUUUUAACAAACAGUUUUUCCAGGGAGCAUACAUGCUUUUAUCAUGAAAACAAAUUAAGUUUAGGCUGUUGAAAGGUCACUAAUACUAUUCUGGUCCUUUGUGCUGAUUGAUUGUUGACAGGAAAGUUCCAUAGAUGAUCCUCUUGAACAUAAGAAAUCACUAUGUGACAUAAAGGCUGGAUGCGCUGUAUAUCCCAUGUUCGAAGAAAAGCAGCGCCAAUCAAAUGCUGGUCAAGUUCCUUUGUGUGUCCAUCCAGAUAUGCAGGCAUCAAGGAAAAUGGGAGCUGAAGUGUCUCCGAUGAGCAGAUUUAAGAGCUUGAGUUUUAUCAUUUACGGUGCUGAAAAUGCCAAUGAUGGUUCUGACAUAGUUAAGAUCCACCUAACUUCUAGCCUUCUAAAAAAGGUAUGUGCAUUAUAAAAACCGUAAGCUUGGCUGCGGGCUUGCAUUUGUUUUGUCUUGCUUAAUCUGUAAUAUUUGGAGCUUUUGUACUAUCUAUAACGAGCUUCAGCCUCACAUAUUCUUAUUUGCAGGUUGAAACACAGUUAAUGAGAGGGAAGCCAAAUCCAGCUAUGUUUAACACGGCGAAGUCAAUCCUUAAAGUGAGAAUCCCACUGAACUUUUCUGUGACUCAGUGUGGCAACAAUUCAUUUCAUUCAUAUGCAGUUAUCCUAAUUUGCUUUGUUUGCAUAUUUGUCUUGAAUUAGGAUCAAGAAAGACACCUUUUGGAUGCACUUGUUGAACUCUCUGAAGUAUCAUCUGCUGGUAAGUUACCUUCCAGUAACCUUCAGUUUGCUUAGCAUAUUGCUAGUUUCUUUGAUCUUUUACGCAUGGACCUGAAAUUGUAAUUCUAAUGGGCCAAUGAAAUAAACCUUUUGGAUGAAACUGAAGCGUUUGCAAUUAUUCCUCGCUACCGGCAGAAAUAUAGGCAACAGAUAUUGAUUGUUGAUGUUUAACAAAAGAAGCUACUGCAAAAUAUCACAUAACUAAUCAGCUACUGGAUGUGCAAACACGACAACUUCGGAUUGGUUGGACCAAAUUUGACGUUACAAUCAUAGAUUCUGCCAAAUUUACUCUUAUUUUUUCCAAACUGAAAUUCUGGGGCCUCAAGUUUUAGCAUUGUCAUAUUUGCCAUUCCCGUCACUGCCGCCAGGACUAAUCCUUUCGGCCGUACAUGUGCUCCUCUGUAGCGGCGUGCCCUGGCCAGCACGACGAGGAGACGCCACCGCUGCUGAAGUCGGUGAGCAGCUCGAGCUACGAAGAGGCGCCCGCCACCGCCUCGACCUGCACCGCGAUCACGGGGCCGCGUGGGGCAGAAGCAGCACGGGGGGAGGCUUUCGAGACCAAGGGCGCGCAAGGGAGGGAGCUCGAGCCGGCGGCCAAGCGGGCCUGGCGCCCCACCGUUAAGCUCUUGGAGUCGGAGUGGGUCAAGUGUCUUCCAAGGAAGGGGAAGAAAAGAAUGCAUGCGUCACCACCGCCGGCGCCGGGUCAGUGCACUGCAUUAUUGGCUGGAUGCGUGUAAAACGUGGGUGGAGGGGUGAGUCACUGGCGACGUUGAGUUCUAGUACUUAUUCGGGUGAGCGGAUCUAAUUAAGAAUGCGAUGGGAUGUUUGUGUUCCAAGGUUUUGACCAAGAUUGCUGGUAAUAUAAAUUGAACUGUUCUGUACGAAAUUCCCGAUGUUCCGAAAUUGCAGCAUCAGGCUUAUUAGUCGCAACCCAGACGAUAAUAUGUUCCGAAAAUGCAGCACCUACCUGUAGCAAUUUCCAGCAUCCGCACGUGUCGCCUCUGAGCUAGAGAUUGUGAUCCGCUACCUUCUGAAAACGCCUUAAAUUUUUGGCUCUUGGCGACUAACUGCUCUGCAGCGACCGCUGGCCCCUGCUGCUGUGUGUCGUGGUCGUGAAUCAUGAAAAGGUGUCAUGUAUUGGCCUAUUUUGUCGCGACGGGCAAUGAAUCGGUGCAGAUCGCCAUCAAGACGGUGACUGGAGUCGGUUACUCUUGGGAAGAAAGGAGACGACCCAAAUCCAAAUCCAAAUCCAACCUGCGGCCAGGAAACGCACCCAGCCAGACAGCCAGCGCCGUCCAAUAUUCACCGGCCGAGCCAUCCUUUGAUUUGGUCAUUCUUGUUCAAUCAAUCGACUCGGCGUUUCAUCUUCAUCACAUCCAUGCGUGCCAUCACAUCGUCUUUGAUGAGACGAGAUGACCUGGGAACCAGACUUUCUUGCUCGGUAUAGUUGAGUACAGUAUUAAGGUCCAGAUUCUUUCGCCUCCACAGUAGUCGGAGUUGAAUAGGCCGCGUGUGUAGUGUACCAUAUGCAUGGCCAAGCCUUCUUCUGCCGCGACGGCAGCCGUGGGGGCGAAGGUGCUCAUCGCCUGCCUCAACGUCGGCUUCUUACUCUUGCUCACCUUCUUUUGCCUCUCGCGCCCCGGCGUCGAAGCUGCCGUUCCCCUCUUGCUCGACGGCGUAGGUCAGCGGCUCGAUCAGGACAAGUGCGACUACCACGGCGACUCUGGGUCAGCAUUUGAAAGGGGGCGGGGCCACGUCGAUUACCUGUACCUGUUCUACUGCGUUUGCGGCGAGGAGCGCCGGGCUCUCGGGUACGCCUUCGUGGCGGCGUGGCUCGCCGUGCUCUUCUACCUCCUGGGCGACACCGCGGCGGUGUACUUCUGCUCCAGCCUCGAGGGCCUCUCGCGGCUGCUCCGCCUGUCCCCGGCGAUCGCCGGCGCCACGCUCCUGUCGCUCGGCAACGGCGCGCCCGACGCGCUCUCCACCAUCGCCUCCUUCGCGUCCGGCGGCGGCGGGGAGGGAGGAGGGAGAGGGACCACCGUCGUGGGGCUCAACGGCCUCCUCGGCGGCGCGCUGUUCGUCUCCUCCGCCGUUCUCGGCGUCAUCUGCCUCCGCCCCGGCGGCCCCGGCCGCGGGUUCCCCGUCGACAGGCGCAGCUUCUUCCGGGACGCGUCCUUCCUCCUCCUCGCCCUCACCGCCGUGGCCGUCGUCCUCGCCGCCGGCAAGGUCAACAUAUGGGGAGCUCUCGCCUUCACCUCCCUCUACCUCUUCUACGUCCUCGCCGUCGCCUUCACCCACGGCCGCGAUCGAGGAUCGCGCGUCGGAGGAGGAGAGGAAGAGACGGACCACACCAACGCCGCCUUGUCAGAGCUCUGCGACGUCGCCGAGACGAAUUUCUAUCCGUACCAGGACCAGGAAGAACCACUGCUCCCUGAGACCGCGCCCCUCCUGCAAUACCAUGCCGAUGAUGAAUCCACGAAGAAGAGUAAGAGGGCGAGUGUGUUCUGGUCCGCGGUGCGCGUGCUGGAGCUGCCUCUGUAUCUGCCGCGGCGGCUGACGAUCCCGGACGCGAGCAAGGAGCGGUGGAGCAAGCCGGCGGCGGUCACCGCGGCCGCCCUUUCCCCUCUCUUCCUCUCCUUCCUCUGGAGCCACACCGCCCUCGCCCUCCUCCUCGGCGGUCUCGCGGGCGUCCCCAUGGGCCUCGCCGCCUUCCUCACCACGGACACCGACGCGCCGCCGACGAGAUUCCGCUCGGCCUGGCUCGCCGGCGGCUUCGUCAUGAGCGUAGCCUGGGCGUACGUCAUCGCCAACGAGCUCCUCUCCCUGCUGGUGUCCGCCAGCCUGGUGCUCGCCGUGGACCCAGCGACGCUGGGGCUGACCGUGCUGGCGUGGGGCAACUCGCUGGGCGACCUCGUCGCGAACGUAGCCGUAGCCAUGUCCGCGCGCGGCGGCGGCGGCGGCGCGCAGGUGGCCGUGGCCGGCUGCUACGGCGGGCCGGUGUUCAACGUCCUUGUCGGCCUCGGCCUGUCCUUGGUGCUCUCGUGCUGGGCUGGAUAUCCACGGCCUGUAGAGAUUCCCAGGGAGGCCAGGCUUUACCAGACGCUGGGCUUCGUGGCUGCUGGAGUUUUAUGGACUUUGGUCAUGCUGCCGAGAAAGGGAAUGUGGGUGGAUAGGACGCUGGGAUUUGGGCUUCUGGGCAUAUACUUUUGCUUCUUGUGUGCUAGCGUUUUACAAGCACUUGGGAUCGUCUGACCAAAUAAUGUAUGUGUCAGACCUUCUGAAUUUUUAUGUACAUAGCUUUUGGAGCUGUUCUUUUGAAACAACUGCUCCCUCCGUCCAAUAAAAAAUGUCUUAAAUUUGUCAAAUUUUGAAUGUAUCUAAAAUCUAGACAUGACUUAGUGUAUAGAUACAUUCAAAUUUACUAAAAGAUGAGACAUCUUUUGUUAAACGGAGAAAGUAGAACGUCAUGCGCUGCUGCACGGUUGAGGUAUGAAUCAAAAUACAACUCGACAACACAUCUAAAAUUGAUCUAACCAAGAGAUCGUCACACAAUGGCAAGAAAACGUCAUCCAGAUCGACAACCAAAAUUAUUUGAGGUUGACUCAAAGAAGAAUGAUACAAGCGACAAAUACAAAUUGCUUAGGUACAUCAGAAAAUCAAGCUUGGCAUGGUAAAGCAGCGAUGUUGCCGCAAAAACACAGCGCGCCUCAACGGAAAACGGAUCAAAAACAAGAUCACACUAUCUUGGAUCCAUAUACCAUCUAUAUAUAAUGUUUAAAUGGAUGAGCGAAGUUGCAUAUAUCUAUUGGAAACUUGUUAUGGGCUUCCGUAAGGCGACUGUGUUUAAGUUACAGGAAUCACAGAUUUCAGCUAUGGCAAAUGGUUCUCGUCUAGGUGAUACACUGAUUGCUUGUCUAUUUCCCUUGCCAUUUCUUUGCUGCCUUGUUUUGUAUCACUCAGGAAAUAUUGUCCACCCUCCAGCUGAAGAUCAAUCUACAACUGCCAGAAUAAAGAAUUAGUCAAAUAGUAGCAGCAGCGCGGUCGUGCGAUCGUUCGGCUGAGGGGAUCAGGGGAAUCAUUUUCCAUUUCAGAACGGAUGACUAAAUAUUCUCUUAAGAGAUAGUGAAAUAGAUUCCCAAAACUUUUAGUUCCUAUGUGAUAAUAAUGAUACCAGAAUUGUGUAAAACAAGUUAGACAUAAAACUAAAUAUUUUUGCUUCAUGAUAAUUCAAAGGAAAGGGUUUCCCUUCAUGCACCCAGCUUCAUCAGGCUCUGAACGAAUUAACAACCGCCUAUAGUCAUUAUCAACAAAGUGUCUAGCCGGAUAUAAAACCAAUCACUAAUUAACAUGGCUGAUGCUUGUAGUUUGUUGGUUAAUAUUAAAGUCAUUUCAGCUUUCAAACAAUUAUACACUUAUACGUUCAGCUCAAAUACGCAAACUCACGGCAAAACAAAUACAAAUCAAGCAAUUUUAAUGCCUGCUGAAAGCAAGUAGCAUACCGUUUUCUUACUCCAGCUUGACCCGGCUUCUUUUCAAUCGACCAGGAGACUUCUCGAACACACCCGAAGCUGGACGCAACCAGAACCAAAAGCCCACCAGGCGCCGACGGCCCACAAAAGUCCAUCACACCCGAUGGCUUCGAAGAAAAAACAAAAGCGUCGACGUGGCCGAUCAGGCAAGAAGAGAAACUCUCCGUGACGUUUAGUGGACAGAAAGACUAGAUGAUGUCCUAAGUUUUUCUGCGAAAUCGUGUUAAAACAAAUGCGUAAGUAGAUGCUUAUAAUUAAUUAAAACUAAUAGAAAAAAUUGUACAAGUGUUCUUAUUUUACAUUUAAAAGAAAUAAAAGCUAAGAAGUAUGUGAUAAAAUAAUUUAUAAAAGAGAAGACAUCGUUGAAUUGAUGAGGUAAAAUGAUUUGAGUUGAUAGGUGAAUGGAAAAAUGUAAACGAAUAUGCAUGGCUUGAAAAAAAACAUGUAUGACAUGAUUUGCAUAGCAACGUGGUGGGCCUUCUACACCCUACUGAGGUGGCAUUUGCAUGCUGAGAGAAAUAGUUAGUGGGUUGCCUAUUUAGAUAUAGAGGUAGAAGAUAAGAAUAGUAUGACCCCUACUCUCCUCGCCUUCCCUGUUUUGUGCGCUUGAAUGAAUAGUUUUCAUGGACUGAGAUAGUAAAUGAUACACUUCGUUGGCGGUCAUCCGCCCAACGCAACCGAUUCCGACUAGCGUGAACUUGAACAAGCGAGAUGACGAACGAGCCUCGUUGCCCUCUUCAUAGGCAUCGUCCACAAGAUUUUGUCCAACAAGGACGACGAGGAGAAGAGGAGAAGGAGGAGGUGGCGGCUAAGGUUUAGCCCCUCGAGUUGCCUCGGAGGAGACAACCCGAGAUGCCUGAGGGCCGGCUCCUCGCCUCUUCUGGAUUGGCGAAGAUCGAGUAUUUGUUCUGUCACUGAGGGUGAAACUGGUUAGGAUAAUUACCAACUGAAUCCGUUUUCGAAUCUGAUGAUGGUAUAGGAUACGAGAAGAGAAUUAACUAUCCAGCCGGAUACAGUAUAUGAUAUGGUACGAGCGUUAUCCGACAGAUAUCGGAUUAUCCGACACUAAUAAUCCGGACAUUAUCCAUUUCAGCUCACUUACUAGCCUAGACUAUGAAGCCGAGAAAAGCCCAUAUCCCAGCACACAUCCUAACCUAACCUACUAGACACAUUCGCAGAGGAGAUGAGACGAGUCUCUCUCGGUCUCUCCCAAAUACGCACUGCUCCCGGCGGUGUGCGUCUUCUCCCAUGCUCGCAAGGCUUGUGCGUCUGGCUCCUUGCGCCGUUUGAAUCUUCAGUGUGUGUAAGUAACCAUUGUUGAGUACUUGAGUUGCGUCCCUGAUUUGUCAUAAUCAGUUAUUACUUGUACGCAUUAUUCAACAAUCAUUAUCAUUUCCGAUCUGGCAAAAAAAUACCUCUGCUAAAUCACUGUCAACCCGAACUAACGAGAAACCAAACACCUCUUAAGGCACCUCGUCUGAUUGCUGAAGAAACCCAGAUGCUUACGUUUUGGGAUUUUAUUUUUUCUGUUUGGUACGUCCAUGGUCUCUCGGAGUCGGAGGGGCGCGAAUGACCUCCUGAAACGGAGACAUUUUACUUUGUAAGAAUGAAACGGAGACUCGGAGACAAUAGAAUAACACGCACCAGAACUCCACCGUCGUCCAAUUAAUGAUUUGGAGUGAGUGCCGAAUAAAACAAAUCAAGUUAGUGCAGGCACCAUGUGACGAUGGCAUGUGAAAAGUGAAAUCCAGUCCGUGGCGCACCGGAUUCAAUCCCAAUCCGAUCCUCCUCCAACAAAGUAAGAGCAUCAUCAGGAGAGCCCCUAUUUCACCCCCUAUCCUCAAAUAUAGGUAUUCUAGCUAAAAAACGCUCUUCCUCCCGGAACUGAGGGCGCCCCCAAAUCGCCCUCCCGACGACCCAAACUGAGGUGCCGGCUAGGGGCUCCCGGAAGCGAGGAUCUCAACGGCCAGCUCCGAUUCGCGCCAAGGUUCGUCCUCCUUCCCUCCCUUCUCUCCCUUGAUUCGCGUUUUUGGCCGAUGGGGAGGCGGGCGUCGCCGGCCGAGGAUGGGUCGGGGACGGGUCGCGGCGGUGGCGGGCGAGAUGGGGAGGCCGGCGGCGGUGCUGGGCGGGAUGGGGAGGCGGUGCUGGGCGGGAUGGGGAGGCCGGCGACGGUGCUGGGCGGGAUGGGGGACAUGGGGAGGCGGCGGUGCUGGGCGAGAUGGGGAGGCCGGCGGCGGUGCUGGGCGGGUCGGGGGCGCGGGGGCAGAACGGAGAGCCAGAGAGGAGGGGAGGUGAGGUCGGGGGCGCUGGCAGAACAGAGAAGAGAGAAAGAGAUAGCAGAGAGAUGAGAAAGAAGACAGAAGAGAGAAGAGAGAAGAGGUUAAUUUGGUAGAUGCAAAUUGGUAGAUCAAUUUAGUAGUUCUUUCAUGAGAUUAGAACAUACAAUUGUGACUAAAUUGCUUAUAAUUUCUUUCAUGGUAGCAAUUCAUACACUUGAUGGAUGAUCACAGUUCUCCUAUGGGUUUGUACACAAACAUGUUGAGUGAAGGAUACAACGAAGAAGCUUGGGGCCAAAAUUUGAGUAGUCCUAUGGGUUUGUACACAGCAGAUCAUACACCAAUGCAUGCUAAAGUUCCUACUCCUCCAGUAAAAACAAAUAACAAGAGGAAAGGAAAUUUCACUGAUAAAGAAGAUGAAGUUUUGGUGGCUGCAUCGUUGCAUGCUAGUAUGGAUCCAAUAGUAGGUACUGAGCAAAAUAAUGCCACUUAUUGGAAUAGGAUUCAUGAAGAGUAUGAAUCCCACAAGCCAGAAGGAAGUGAUCACAAUGUCAAUUCCUUAUCGCAUCGUUGGUCCGCUGUGAAAGAACAAGUGGGUAGGUUUUGUGGAUGUUACGAGCAAAUUAUGCAUAGGCGCGAAAGCGGGAAGACAGAGCAAGACAAGGUAGUUCACCUAGUUGUUUAAUUUCAUUGUAUAUUCAUAUGUCAGGUGCAAAUAUACUGAGACAUGUUCACUUGUGCAGAUUGUUGAUGCUUUCAAAUUGUUCAAGUCACAAGAUAAGACCAAUAAAGGGUUUGUGCUAAUGCAUUGUUGGAACAUGUUGCGUUUCGAACAAAAGUGGUUAGCUCAAGUUGACAGGUCAUCUCAAAGUAAUAAAAAGCAGAAGUCAAACUGUAACAUCCCAAUUUUCAAAACCCUUCAUAUGCAUUGCAUAUCAUAAGCAUCAUGUCACCCUUGCAUUUGAACACCUUGAAAACUCAAGAUUUUGCCCAGAAAACCCUUCUACAGAAACGCCUUUAUUUGAUUUUGGUCGUUGAUCUUGCUUUUGAGUAUUUGCAUUUUAACCCAUGAGGGUAUUGUGAUAAAAAGGGAUUUAAUGCAAAUAUAAAACUAUCCCAUAAUUGGCUUUUGAAAGUAUUUUGAAAAAUAAUUUGUUUUGAUAACCUAAGGGCCCUAAAAGCCAUUUUAUAUUCUAAUGUAUUUUUAAAUAUUUUAUUUUGAGGAAAUUCUUGUUCCAAAAGUUAGAUCAUAUGAAAAUAUGAUUUUACAAAUUUUGUUGCAUUCUAUUUGGAGUGAUUUGGAGCUCCGAAUCAAUUUUGAGGUUCGAAAUCAGAAAAUAGAUAAAAGAAAAGGAAAACCGAAGAAAACCGGUCAAACCGGACCGAACCGGACCGGCCCAGCCCGAACCGGCCGGCCCGCUCUCACUGACCGGUGGACCCCGCACGUCAUCUUCUCCAACUGUCUCCUCCGGAGUCCACGCAGAGCACGCCCCGCGAACUGCCCACGAAUCCGUUCCGAUUUCUUCGCGCACGAACCACCAAAUCCGAAACCCCACGCGUCAUAUCGAAGCCCCGAACUCCUCUACCAAUUCCCCCAAACUGCUCGCCCAAUUUCGCAUCGGUUAGGAUUUAAUUUCUCGCCAAAGUUCUUCACGGACGUCGCCGUUCUUCGCGUUUUGCCGUUGUUCCGAUGAGCUUCCGCCCGCGCCACUCCCCUAGCCUCUCUCCUCUCCCCGUCCCGAACGCCGUGACGCGCUCGCUUUUGCAUUUGGCCGCCGCCGCCGCCUCCGGCCGCCCGCGCCGGCCAUCUUCCUCAGCGCCGGCCGCCGCCCGCUCGUCGCGCCACCUCCGCGCGCCGUCCGUGCCCGCGCAGCCACCUGCGCCACCCCGCUCCGCCUGCGCCGCCGCCCCGCCAGCCCGCGCGCUCCCGCGCCCCGCGCCGCCCGCGAACCCGCCGCCUGCCGCGCCCGCGCUACCCCGCGCCGCCCGCAGCCGCCCCGCGCGCGCCGCCCCAGCCGCUCGCCCGCGCCGCCGCCGGGCCUUUCUGGAAUCGUCACAACUUGUAGAAUAUUUUAGCACUGUCUAAUUUCAGUUUUGAACAACUUAGACAGUAGCUAUUUACAGAAUGGUUGAUUAUGGUUUAAAUUUCAAAUGAAUUGUUUCAAAAUAGUUUUGAGCAUGUUAUCUUGCUGUAAAAUUAUUUGAACUUGUUCUCUAUCCAUUAGGACCAGAGAAAAAAUUAUUUUGUGUAUAAUCAUGGCAUACAAGUUAAAUAAUGCUCUAUGUUGCAAAAGCUGCACAAUCUUUUGUUUUUAAACCCUAUUCAUGUAUCAUGCAUAUUAAUUACCACUUUGAUGUUGUAUAAUCUGUCCAAAUCUUUUGAGAGCCUUUUCAAAACAGAAACGAAACUUUGUACGUUAGAAGUAACCUUUGUGUGCAUCAUCUUGGCAUAUGCAUCAUGGCAUGGUUUUUGUAUUGAAUGUUGUGUUUAUUGUGUGUGUUUCUUUUAUUUUAGAUUGUGUGGAGUGUAUUUCUUGUUGUUGCGAAGAGUGCGAGAACUAUCACAACCUUGGACAAGGAAGUUCACUUUGAUCAUAUCCCAUUAUUAUUGUUGUUUUAAAAUACUUAUGCACUAGUGUUGUUGGUAGAGAUGCAUUGAUAGGACUAUUACCCGUACCUCUAUGCUAGCUAUAAAUCCCAGGUAGUAUAGUUUACUCUCGCCAUUACCUUGCUACCAAAUUGCCAGCGAUUGUAGUUGAAUGCUAAGCUAUGGUAGUAUCGUGGGGGAAAUAACUACAUUAUGAUAUUGUUAUGCCUUUGGCUAUAUGAAAUGUUUUUGUUAGAUGUAAGGCAAAACAACUAAUUAAAUGAACCAUCCUGGGUGGGCUGCUUUGAGGAUUUUGAGGAUUAGCGGCGUCAGGUCCAUUUCUAUGGGUCCCUCUGAGUCGAGUUCCUGUGGAUUCAGGAAUGGAUCGUUCAUGGACGUCUCUCCCGUGGAUUCGGGGAGCGCCUACGUUGCAAAUGUGGAAUGCCACCUGGGGUAACUGAGACUGGACCAGUUUCCUAUUUAGAAGCUUCUAGUACAAGCACAAUGCUAUAUGGGCUCUGACGAGACAAGAGUAAGUUGUAUGAACCUAAACCCGAAGAAUUGUACUGAGGUAGCCGUGUAGGGGGAGCGUGAUUCUCUCGUGGUUUAGGGAAUUACCUCUGAAAAUCUCGUAAUCGAUGCCGUUGCUACUCUACCCUGAGGACAGCAAGGGAUUAACACGUCGGUUUCUUGUGGGGAAUGUGUACAAACUCUCGAGAGCGUCAAAACUAAGUACUUAGCCGUGUCCCCGGCAACGGACAUUUUGAGCAACUAGAUGUGGAGCUGUAAGGAAAGUCUCACUCAUUCCAAUUUCUUAAAUAAAAUGAAUGGUUUGAACAGGGUAGGAGCACUUGAAGAAUCCACUUCUAUGUACUCUAGGUUAAUAGGAGCAUGGGUGUGUCUACCCAGUAUCCAUUAGUUAACAUUAUUAUAACAUUCCUUUGUAGUAGGGUAAUUUAUGUUCUGCUUCCACGCAAAUAGCCUUGAACCCCACUUUGCCACAUUAUGCAUAUACUUGAUAGGUUCUGUUAUAACUCCUGGUGAAUCUUGCCAAUACAUUCAAUGUAUUGACCCUAGUGGCUGCAUCGUUUCAUGAUGCAGGAAGCUCCGACGACGAGUAAGAUGAACGUUUUGCUUAUUUGGGUUACGGGCUUACAUUCCAACACGCUCUCACCGUGGUGUUGAUGUGCCCUUGUAUCUUUCGCUUUCCGCUGCUAAACUGCUGUUUUAUUUCCAGCUAACCCGUGAGGUUAUGCGAGUUGUAAGUACCUUUUAAACUCUGGAUGAUUCGUUGUAAUAUUGAGAUCUUUGUUCUAUGAUAUUACAUCUUCAAACUGUGUGUGCUAGUGAGUCGAUCCAGGGACUAGCACUAAAGCACAGAGAUCGAACCCGUGUACGGGGGCGGUCGCUUCACAAACUCCAAUGCAAGUCCAAGCAUGUCUACUCAAGAAGCCAACACGAUCCAUCUUGAUGACUUUGAAGCUACAUCUCCUGUCAAAGCGGAUCACAUGAAGAGACCUAUUGGGAAGAAGGCGGAGAAAAAACGGCAAUGUCGAGGUAAAAAUGUUACCUCUUUAGAAGAUAGUAAUGUUGUGAUGGCUUUUGAUGUUGUGUUCUCAAAGAGGACAGAGAUGGAGAUGGCAAGAGAAACAGCAAGACAAGAAAGAGAGAUGGCAAGAGAAACAGCAAGACAAGCAAGAGAGGAUGCAAAGGAAAAGCGUUAUGUUGGAGCACUUGCAAUGGAGCAAAGGAAGUAUGAAUUUGAGGAAUGGAAGAUGGAAAUGGAGAUCAUAAACAAGGAUCUUAGUUCGUUGGAUGAUGACAAAAAGGAAUGCUACAAGAUGCUACGGCGUGAUAUCAUUGACCGACGAUCUAAAAGAUCAAUUUGAGUAUGUUGUUGUAUUAACUAUUUGAGUAUGGACUAUGUUGUUCUAUGCACUAUUUGAGUAUGGACUAUACUGUUCUAUGCACUAUUUGAGUAUGGACUAUGUUGUUGUAUUAAAUAUUUGAGUAUGGCAUAAUUCGUUAAAGCAGUUGCAUACAGUACCAUACAUAAUAUAUAUUACACCCCUCCAUAAUGUAAAAAUAGUACAUGCUAAAUAGAUCAAGUCGGCAGGGUAACCUUCUUCGGGACAAAACCUUUCCGACUUAGAUCCUAACUCUAACUACAUACGACAUUGCACACUAUGUUACCCCAUAAAUUUGCCAUAGGUGCUCAACCAGGUCAUACUUUAGUUGAGAGUGGACUUGUGCGUUGCGGAUGUCAAGAUGAUUUUGAAUGAAGUUCGAGAAUUCAGCCGUCUGUGCAUGAGAGGGAAUAACCUUUUCUCCCAUGUUGUCAUAAUUGUAGUCUUGCGGACCUUCAUCUCGCUCGUCUUGAACUAUCAUGUUAUGCAUGAUAACACAAGCUGUGAUGAUAUCAUGGAGUACUUCUUGAUCCCACAGUCUUGCUGGUCCACGAACAAUUGCAAAACGAGCUUGAAGCACUCCAAAUGCUCGUUCCACAUCCUUCCUAUGUGCUUCUUGACAUUUUGCAAAAUAUUUAUUCUUCUGCCCUAGUGGAGAGGGUAUUUUCUUCACCAAUGUUGCCCACUGCGGGUAUAUGCAUCGGCAAGGUAGUACCCAAUUGUAUAAUUGUUACCAUUUACUGUAAAAUUAACUUCUAGAGCUUGCCCUUCUGCUAGCCUUGCGAAGAUCGGGGAACGGUGAAGAACAUUGAUGUCAUUAAGAGAGUCAGGUAAACCAAAGAAGGCAUGCCAAAUCCAUAGGUCUUGUGAAUCAACAGCUUCUAGAAUCAUUGUGGGCUCAUGCACAUGGCCAGUAUACAUACCUUGCCAUGAUGAAGGGCAAUUUUUCCACCCCGAAUGCAUGCAGUCGAUGCUCCCUAGCAUUCCAGGGAACCCUCUGCCCUCGCCAAUUGCAAGCAAUCUAGCGAUAUCGGCUUCAUUUGGAGAUCUAAGAUACUCAUCUCCGAAAACUUCAACAAUAGCUCUAACAAAUGCUUUCAUACUUUUCAAAGCAGUGCUUCCUCCAAUCCGAACGUACUCAUCUGUAGCAUCCGAUGCUACACCAUAAGUCAACAUUCGGAACACUGCGGUAGCCUUCUGAAGAGAUGAUAACCCAAGUUUUCCAGCAGCAUUUCUUUUCUGCACAAAAUAGCUAUCGUGUUCCCGCACAGCUUUCGCUAUGCGAAAAACAACGGCCGAGACAUUCGAAACCUGUGAAAACAAAGGUAAUUAGUUGAACACUAGAGGAACAAUAUAAAUGCAAGUAAAAACCAUAUGUACGCAUUGCUUACCUUCGGCGAAUAUGAGAGGCCAUAGACAGGAUGUUGCGCGAAGUAGUCUUCGAAUAAUCUAGCAUGCCCACCUGCCGUAUCACGGUUAAUUACCUGACGACCCGGCACUGAACCGCGACGGUGUCGAGCAUUGAACUGCGUGUUCGCGUCGAGAACUAUUGCCGCUGUGGCAACCAUUAGUUCAUGGCCGUCAUCUUCAUGCUCCUCCUCCUCCUCCUCCGACGAUGACGACGAAUUCACAUAUUGCCAAAGUAAACUACAACUCAUUUUUGUGAGAGGAGGCUGAGAAAUGUGGUAGAGUGAACAGACUGAGAGAUGUGGUGGAGAGUGAAUGGACAAUGGCUUCAGAGCUCCACAUAUAUGUAGACCAAGAAAUAUAUCCGUUGGAAAUAUAACCGUUGAGAAUAUAACCGUUGAGAAUAUAACCGUUGAGAAUAUAGCCGUGAAGAAUAUAGCCGUUUGAUAAUUAAAUUAUAAUAUUAUAGUUUAUGUACUUAAAUGAAUAUAAGAAUAAAACUAUUCGAUUUAAAUUAUAAGCGUUUCAAAUAUAUAAUUUCAAGUCAAGUAGUUUGAAAUAUAGAUUUUUUACAAAAACGGUUGAAGGAUAUGAAUAAAAUAUGGAUGAAUGAAUUAUAGGGGGUGAGAUUUAGGCAGUCUGAUUUGGAGAUGACAAAUUUGAAAAAAGAAUCUAUACUAGAGAGUUCCUAUAUGAAGAUUUAGGUGCUCACAUUUAAGUAGUCCGCUGAUAAUGCUCAUAAAGCAGCGGACGCGCACACGCACUUCCUCCUCCUACCAUUCACUCGCAAGGAUCUCCUCCGGGGGAAGCUCAAAUGAAUUGAAGAAACGUCGUCCAUCUGUUAGACGAGAAAAUGGCAUUCCAGUCCAGAAAUGGAGGGCCUUGCAAACAUGUUUGGGCAAAGAGCUGGAUUGACUUUACAUAAAUGGAUCGAGAACUAGGCAGGCGUUCAAGGCAGACAAUCGACCGUCGUUCCUGCACGGUCCCACCUGUCAUUGACUGACCGACCACAGCAGUACCGACAGCAACCUCCCCUCCAACGCCCCCGCACUCUACUAGCUUCUCCCUCCGACCAAUCACAGCCCACUUCCAGCUAGCCACCUAAUUAAGGAGCUUAAUCUCUCUCUCUCUCUCUCCCUGAGACUCUCUCUUCCAAGCUUGAAGCUCGAGCUGCAUCCGGUCACUGUUCACCUUUCCAGCUUCCACCACCAAUAGAUCUCCGGAGCAGCGCCUGCUAGCUAGCUGCUGCCAUUAAUCGAAUCCCACGCAAGCAUAAACGCACGGCAGAUCGGUAGAUGCGACCACGGCGAUGAGGGUGAGGGGGCUGGCGAUGGGCGGCAGGGAGGUCGCGAUCUCGGCCGUCUUCACGGGCCUCCUCGUCGUCUCCAUCCUCUCCCUCCCGUCGCUCCUCCUCACCACCGGCCGCUUCUCCCGCGGCGCCGGGCCCGCCGCCGACUGGCCGUUCCUGCAGCAGCUUGGCGAGAAGGCGUACCCGGCGUCGUUCGCGUACCUGAUCUCGGCGUCGACGGGGGACGCGGAGCGGGCGGCGAGGCUGCUGGGGGCGCUGUACCACCCGGCCAACAGCUACCUGGUGCACCUGGACCAGGAGGCCCCCGCGGAGGAGCACCGGCGGCUGGCGGAGCUGGUGUCCGGGCAGCCCGUGUACGGCCGCGUGGGGAACGUCUGGAUCGUGGGCCGGCCCAACCUCGUCACCUACCGCGGGCCCACCAUGCUGUCCACCACGCUCCACGCCAUGGCCGUGCUCCUCCGCCUGGGACGCCCCUGGGACUGGUUCGUCAACCUCAGCGCCUCCGACUACCCCCUCGUCACCCAGGACGGUAUGUCUGUCUGUCUCUCCACUCUCCACACGAACACCAACACGAAUCAUUGAUUGAUUGUUGAAUUUAGAUUUUGGAUUGUGUUUGAUUGGUUAAUUUGCAGAUUUGAUGGAGGCGUUCUCGCGGCUGCCCAGGGAUCUCAACUUCAUACAGCACACAAGCCACCUGGGCUGGAAGAUGUAAGAGCUAACGAAUUACUCUUUAGUUGAAGUAAUCAAUUGAUAGGCUGGGGAUUUUAAUUACUUUUGUGGAGAUCGACCGAUGGGAUCGUUUGAAUUGAAUUCAUCAGCAGAUGAUUGAAUAUUGAAUUUGAAACGCGCUAGCUCUGCAGAAAGAAGCGCGCUCGGCCGGUGAUCCUGGACACGGCGCUGUACGAGGCCGACCGCUCGGAGCUCCUCCGCCCUUCGCCCAACAUUACCAUCAACCGCCGCGGCCUCCCCACCGCCUUCAAGCUCUUCACCGGUACGUAACGUGAUAAGCCAUGAAUCUCUCCGUGAACCUGCAGAAAAAAUGGCAAUAGAAAUGUGCCAUUGCGUUUUUCGUCAACGCUUGUUGAUCGGAGAUACGGGGCCCGUGUCCGGGUCCGUACUACGGUACUACUAGGCCCGAUUGGUUUGGGUAGUUGUUCGUUUUGAAUUCGUCCUCGGUAGCAAUAGGAGACGUCAGCUGGACUGAGAGACGUACGGCGGAUAUAGUAGAGAACAUGUGGCUUGAUCAGUACGUGUAACCACCAAUCUGGCAUGGAAAAUAAUAUUACGGAGUAUCUGUCUUUCAAAAAAAAAAAAACUUAUCUCGAACGGCAAUCUAGUCAACGGAGUAGGAGCCCGAGUGCCACAAGGCAUUUUGCAGAGAGACUAGCUAGUUAUGCUUGCGCUAAUCGAUUUGGUAGAUCUGGAUCAGUGGUGAUCAGUCUAUUUUAAUGUUGGUUUAUGCUCUGGAAUUAUGCAAAACCCAGCAGAUCGACCAACCAAUGCGCUGUUCUGCGCUGUGCUGUUGUAUUGGCAAACAAAAGCAAAAGCAAAAGCAAACCUUUAGUUUUGAUCCACCGAUUGCUUCCAAGAAACGGCAGGUAUGCCGGCGACGUUCCAUCGUACGUGUCGGCAUCACAAGGCAAUCUCCAGAAACCGUACUCUUCCUAGCUGGAGUAGCACUAGAAGCAGCAGUGUCGCAAAAACCAAAGAUUUCAUUGUUAUUGAUUGAGCUGUACAAACAACAAAAAAGUCUGAGUUCAUAUCAGCAGUACUACUGUAUUUGAUUUGGACGAACAACAAAAGACUAAAAUGUGUGAAGCGAUGGAUUGCAGGGUCGGCGUGGACGAUGCUGUCGCGGCGGUUCGUGGAGUACUGCGUGAUGGGUUGGGACAACCUGCCCCGGACACUCCUGCUCUACCACGCCAACCUGGUGUCCUCGCCGGAGUUCUACUUCCAGACGGUGGCCUGCAACUCCGCCGAGUUCCGCAACGCCACCGUCAACAGCGACCUGCACUUCAUUCGCUGGGACAACCCGCCCAAGCAGCACCCGCUCUACCUCCGCCCCGCGGACUACCGACGGAUGGUGCUCAGCAGCGCCGCCUUUGCGCGCAAGUUCAAGCACGCCGACCCCGUGCUCGACAGGAUCGACCGCGAGAUCCUCAAGCGCCAGCCACCGCCCCGCGACGAUGGUGACAAUGGCAGUAGUGUCGAUGCUCAACAAGGCCGGUUCUUCAGCUACGCCGGGUGGUGCUCGGAGGGGGAGGUGGGGCUGUGCUCCGACCCCCGGGAGCUGCCCGGCAGCAGGAAGGGGGCCAUCAAGGCCGGCGCUGGAGCCAGAAGGCUCAGGGUCAUGCUCAACAAGUUGCUCUCUGCGAGAAAUUUCAGGAGGCAGCAGUGUAGGUGAGGAGGAUCUAGUAGCUAGCUACGACAAUGGCUUGUGUAACUCUGAUGAUCUGACCAAAUGUGUCGUGUACAGAAAGAGGAAGAGGACACCAAGAUAAGGCAAUUUUGGCUGGGAGGGGUUUUAGAGUAGAGAGGAGAGUUGAUUUCACAGAAUAAGGACAUGUACAUGGUGCACCAUUCAUGGGCAAACAUGCAUGGUCACAACUCGCAAAUUUGACGGGAUCUGCCACUGACGACCCAUGGACAAUUUUUUGUUUUUAUAGCGUUUUUACGGGGAGUGCCGUGCAUGUGUUGCUGUCUGUACAAGCAAGUGCUGCUGCUUAUAAAAGCACGAAUUGUGUUACAUCUAAACGAGCUAAGAGCAUGUGCAGCGUUGGUAAACAACCAUAACUAAGAAGAGAAAAACCAGUCCAAGCACCGCUUCUAACCAUUGCAGCAGAUCUAGCUAAGAAAUGUUUUGAAGAACCGGUUUUUCUACUUGCGUCCAUUCUAACUUCUUUUGAAAUCAUUGUUGACUUUGGUGGGGCUGAAGCGGGCAAGCUCCGGCCAUGGCUGGUAGGACUAGAUCGAGCCGGGAGGCCGGAAGCAGGAGGCCGAGGAGCUUGGCGGCGACAGUGGCGGCUCCUCCCAUCGCCAGCGCUGCUUCCCCAUCUCCUCUCCGCUGCUCCUCCCAUCACCGACGUGGGGUUCCCAUCAGCGAGCCGGACCAGACGGCGGCGCUCGGCGGCGGAAGGAGACCGAGGCAGGCGCUAGCAGUUGGGGAUGGGGGAGAUCGGGGAAAUCGAGUUGGGGAUCGGGGAGAUCAGGGAGCGCUAGCAGUUGGGGAUCGGAGGAGAACGAUGAGUUGGGGAUCGAGGAGACCUAGUUGGGUUGGUUGGUGGGCCGCAGUUUGGGAGAUUCUGACCAGUGGGCCCAAUUAGAGGUGCUAAGAAAACUUGUACAUUGGACCAGAUUUUUGUUUCCUAGCAUCGGUGCUUGUGUCAGGUCAGUAGACUUCCCACAUUGUUCUUGCUCUUAGAGCAAGCCCAACGUUGGUCAAAACCCGGUGCUAUACCGGUGCUAGGAGAUGUUGGAACUGGGUCUAGCCCUUGCAGCACCUCGGGGCUAAGAAUUUUUUUCUAGAGUCGGGUCUAGUACUUGAGUCGACUCCAAGAACGCGUUGACAACUGUGGAGCCCACGCUCCUCGCCUCACCUCUGCCUGCCGCUCGUCCGCCCGCUCGCCUACCGCAUCCCCAGCCGUUGCACUCUCACCUCUGUGCCGCUUGCCCGCUCACCUGCCCGCCGCAUCUCUGGCUGCCGCGCUCCUCGUCUCCCCUCCGGCUGCCGCUCGCCCGCCGCGCUCCUCGCCUGCAGUUUUGGAUUGAUGGGUGGGGAUCGAGUUUGAUGGUGGACGGGAUGGAGAGGGCCUCGUCGCUGACGGAGAUGUUGGUGAGGGCCACGUAUUAGAAGGUGUUUUUUGUCAUGAAGAUGAGACUAUUGCACAUCUUUUUUUCUGUUGUCGUGUCUCUCGCUCUGUGUGGUCAAUGGUCCAAAUAGCAUCCAAUCUUUUUCCCCUUCGUGAUGCUACUCACAUGUUUGGGUCUUGGUUACGAGGGGUUAAUAAAAUGUUGAGAGCGCUCCUAAUGGUUGGGGCUGCUGCUUUAUGUUGGGCAAUUUGGCUAUGCAGAAAUGAUAUUGUUUUUAAUAGAAAUAACUUAACUUCUCCUAUUCAGGUCUGAUAUUCGUGCACUCAUUGGCUCCGUACUUGGUCUAUGGAUCACCAGCUGACUUUGAUGGUGUGCAACAGUGUGGAACAAGUGGUUAGGGACUUGUUUAACCACUAUGGGUGGCGGUCUAGUUUACGGAUUGAGCCCGCUUAGAGUUUUUAUUUUUCUUUCAUUGUAAUAAUUGAGUUUUGUUCCGUACUCGUGUGGCUGUGUGUGCUUCGACGCAGAGGCCGGGAGUGUGAUACUCUUUGGUUGUAUCGCUCGAUAUAACUUUGAGAUCAAUAAAAGCUUCCAUUUUCGAAAAAAAACCGUAUUAGAAGGUGUUGCUCUGUGGGUUGCAGAUGAGCGGCACGGUGAAGAUGGAGCCGCCGCCACCGGAGUUGCCAGUGUUGGAAUCGGCUAGUGAGAGAAGAACCAGAAGCUCUCGGGUAAGGAAAGGAAAGAAUCCGUGUGAGUUUCGUGCUCAGGGAAGGAGUUGAGGGGAAAGUGGUGGGGAGAGAAAGUUCUGUCAUGUGGGUCCCGGUGUAGAGUACUAGGUUCCAAACAAAUCCAUACGUUGCAGCAUAUCUUGGUUUUGGAGACCCGGUUCUAAUGUUUUAGCUAGCAGUCCUCACAUUUCUCUUGCUCUAACGCUCCACAGCGGGCUAAUGAUCUGGGUCCCGAUUAUUCACCAAUCAAAGCAUGAAAUCCGUCUUGGUCACCGAUUGACGAAGAUGUGACUUCGACAAUGUCCAUAUUGAUGGACUUGUAUCUAGGAAAGAUUUUGAGUGUGUGUUGGCGAACUCGUCAGCUAACAAGGACAUAGGGGGCACGAUUUACUCAGGUUCAGGGCCCUCGAUGAGGUAAUACCGCUACGUUCUGCUUGUCCGAUCUGUAUUGCUGAGUCGAUUACAAUGGGGUGUCGCAGAGUCUAGAUGCACAGAGUUGAUGAGUGCUUCUAGGCGACUUCUCUCUAAGUUGGGGUCUUCUCUUGGCUCCCCCUCCUGGUCCUUUAUAUAUGCAGGAACUUAGGUCUAAAGUAGAGUCCAAGUCGGUUACAAUGAGAAGAUGCACUCUAAUUAAUCUUCCUUGUCUUGAGUCACAAGAUUUGGCAUGUAGACUCCUGGAGUCGUAGUAGGCUUCCUUGUGGGCCCCCAGCUCGGUUGUACCGGGUAUAUUCGAGUCGAGUACGUGGUUAGUCAUAACCACGUCAGUAGCCCUCAAGUGCCCUGUUGAGUCGAAGACUUGACUAGGGAAUUUUCCCAUAAAGAAUGAACUCAUUUUGCUGUUGAGCCAGUUGCAUAAUGCUGCAGACUUGGAGUUUAGUCGAUUUGUACUUUGAAUGAGAAGUAUUUCGACUCAAAGAAUGUCUGAGUUGAUGCUUCAGUGUUUGACUGUUAAGUAACAGUUUCACAAUAUGAUUUUGAUAGCGGAUCAAUGCGAUGAGUAGGGAUCAUAGGCUAUAUGCUUAAUGUGCCCAGAUACUCGAGAAGUCGAGUCCAGUUAAUCGCUCUAGGGCGAAUACAACUCUAGCUUUCAUCAGCAUUCGAGUCCCCGGGCUCGAACCUGGCAACUAGCGAAUUUCGACUUAGCCUGCUGGGUCUUAUAGAGUCGAGUUCCAGUUUUUAAGUACUUGACUUGUUCGUCAAGAUUAUAUGUGCUGGAAACACGCAGCUGGUACGUUUCCAGGCCCUAUAGGAAGCCUAUGGGUCUAAUUUCAUGUAAUGAACAUGGUUGUAGGGAGCGACCCUUAAGUGAGAAUUACUACUGGAGGGAUGCAGUCGAUGCAUAUCCAGGCCUAAUUUUUAGGACUUACCUUCAUACAAUGAGUAUGGAUUUGACUGGAAUAACGUAGCUGGUACGAUUUCAGGCCCGAUAGAGAACUUUUGGGUCUUAUCUUCAUGCAAUGAGCAUGGGUUUGCUGAAAUACGCAGCUGGUACGAUUUCAGGCUCGAUGGAAUGAUCCAUGAGGCUUAUCUUCAUGCAAUGAGCAUGGGUUUACUAGAGCGGCGCAGCUGGUGCGGCUCCAGGCUCUUUGGACAAAAUCCAAGAGGCUUACUGUUAUGUGAAUGAGUAUAAACAGGUGAGGUGAUGCAGCUGGUGCGACUCAAUUGAGUCGACUAUAUGAAAUCGACUGUUUUGUGACAGGGUCAUUACCCUGUUUUUACUGUUGUAAGUAAAGAAUAAACAAUAGAUGACCGUAUGAAGUCUUUAGCUAGUAUAAAGCAACAGCUGGUUAGUUCGCGACUCGAAUGUGAGUCUUAGUAUUCACAUUUAAGAUAAACUCCGUCAUCCUGUAUGAAAGAUAGUUUUGAGUCAUGAUAUUCGAAUCAGACUUCGUCAUUGAUGACGUACCUGUUGGAGGUGAAGAGCCGUUUGGUCAGUCGAUGUGACUGGAUGUAUAGCCUAGCCUGACAGCUAGGUACACUGUAGGCGUGCGUCAAUGGAGAAACAAUCAUACUUCACGCAGUAAACAAGACACAAUGAUGAUCUGAUUGGUUCUUGUGCCCACGAAGUAAGCAGUUAUUUCAUCCUCGCCGUUCCGUAUUCUAGUUGAUGCGGAACACGUGGCCACGAACGAGAUCGUGCGUCCCAGAUUUUUUCCCAAGGUAAAGAUAAAAAGCGGAGGUGGGGUAAAUUAGUUUAACCCUUCUUCCUCCUCGCACCCAGAGCUCAGGCGCCCAAGAUUUUAGCUCCCAUAGCCAAAACCUUUCGUGUUCCUUGACAAGAAAAUGUCCUUCGACCCAGUGAAAUGGGGAAGAGCAAGAAGAGCGCGGAAGCUUGGCCGCUGUCCUCCGUGGAUCGUGAAAGGGUGGCUGGCAUGCAAGAGGAAGGGUUGCUGUCCCCACGACAUGGGCACGUGCGUUUUCCCAACGAGGAGGUAAUCCCUCGCCCCAUGCAUGGAGAGCGAGUGGUGCAUUACGAUUUCAUUACCCGCGGCUUAGCAUUCCCAGUCCACCAUUUCCUUUGUAGCUUGCUUUUGGCCUAUGGGCUCCAACUUCAUAGUCUUUCUCCAAACUCCUAUCUCCACAUCGCGUGCUUUGUUACGCUGUGUGAAUGCUUUCUUGGUAUAAACCCACACCUAGGUCUUUGGAAGAGAAUGUUCACAAUCCAGCGUCAGGGCAAGGAUGCGAUUGGAUGUGUAGACAUCAAAACUCAAGCAGAUGCCAAAUUCUUCAACCUCCGAGCGAGGGAAUCACUUUCUCGAUGGAAAUCGAGGUGGUUUUAUGUCAUGGAUGUGCCGGCUGAAGGGCGUGGCUUCAGUCUCCCUGAAUUCUCCGCGACAGCUUCGGUGAAGAAGACGACAGCCUGGAGUCAUAAGUUGGGAGGAACAGAGGGCGAAGAGGCCGAGACUCUGAUGGCCCAAGUCUUGUCUCUUAUGGAGACUCCUCAGCUGAAGGUGACUGGAAUUCACCUCAUUGUUGCUUUUAUUCGGAGAAGAAUCCAACCUUUGCAAGCUCGCACUCAUUCCAUGUGGGCAUAUAAAGGGGUUCGUGACCCGACCCGGAUUAGUACUGUGGAAUUUCAUUCGACUGAAGUGUGUUGACGAGUUCGGCGGCUCACUGACUUGGGUGAGUCAGAGCCAUGCGAGAUUGACCCUCCAGUGGCUCCCUAUGGACCCGACAGGCCCCGGGAAAAGGUGAUCAUCGAAGCUUCUGACAAAACCUUGCCGUCUUGACAUGAAUUGUUUCUGACUGUACUUUUGAUUCCGGGGACCCGAUAAUGAGCCGAGCAACGUUUCUCCACCGGCAAAGAAGCGUGGCAGAGAAGAUGACAACCCGCCGAUACAGACUGACCAAUAGGCUCGAGGGACCCGAAUGUUGAACCGUCGGUGUCUAUACCUGCGUUCAAGAUAACCAAGUCCGAUGGACCCGUUGCGGCUCAUCGUUUUGGCCUUCUUGCUCGAUUCGACCGUGUCAGGUGAGCAUUUUGGCGAUCUUACUUCAGCAUUCUAGAGAUUUUAUUAAACCUCUAAAAAAUUCUUGCUCAGCCAUACUGGUGGCUCAGUCGAGGGCAAAAAGGCUCCCGAGACUCAAUCGACUGGUCAGGACUCGAAAGGGUCGGACCAGCCGACUAAGAAAAAGGCAGCUCAUGCCGAAGGAGCCUCAGCGGUUCCUUCCGAAACGAGUAGAAGGAGUCGACCAGAUGAGUCGACCAUUCCUCAAGCGACGACUCCUGCACCGAGUCAGCAUGUGAGCAAAUUUGUCUUUUGUUGUUGUUUUUGCCUCCCGGUGGGAGUGAUGCUCAAGAAAUAACUUGAGACUACGUUUUGUUUUUAGCCGAUCAUCCGCUCCAUGACAACUCUUAUUGAAGAGUUUGAGGAGACGAAGGUAGAGCUGGAUCAGUGUCGUCAAGAGCUGAAGGAAGCAGCUAUCAAAAAGAGCCGCCUCCAGCAACGUAUAGACUCCUGUCUUUCCGCGGAGAAAGAGAGGGAAAAGAUUUGGAUCGAGUGACUCGAAAGUGCUACUCGAUCUGUUGCUGGUGAGCGUUUGAGUCUGUCACCCAGGGUGCUUUGCCUUCUAGUGUAAAGUUUGACGGUUGCUCUAUCCUUUUGCAGGAGUCCUUGAUGCCUCUGCUGAGGUUCAAUUUAAUAAGAAAAGCCAGAGCUUCAAUGAGGCUCUAGAAAAUGUCGAAGUUAUCAACGCCGAAGCCAAGGGCAAAGCUCCGGCUGGUGACAAAGACUCUGACCACCGUAAUCAGGAAAAUGUUUCCUGCUGGGUCAGUGCCGGAGUCGCUGAAUGGGCUCAUCGACUUCUUUACUGCGAUCCAAGACCCGGUAGAGGAGUACUGCCAGCAUCAGUCGACGACCGACGCUGAAUUAUUCUUCACGCUUUCUCUUGCGCAUGGCAUCGAGGAUGUCUCAGGGUGGCCCAAUCUUUCGAUGAGAUUGAUAACUCUGAUUUGGGUAGGAGGUGACGUUGACGAUCCGACUACGACCUAGAAGGCAGCGCCUUAGCAAUUGAUACAUCAACUCUAGAGGGUUAUUGAUCACGCGGGGGCACGAUCAACCUGACCACGAAGGUCUUUGUUCCUGCAAGCAAUCGAAGAACAAGCAAGAACAAGAUAAAUAGCGGAUGCAAUCUAAAAUUGCAAAUAUACUAUAUCAAACCAAUGUCUCAACGAGACGAUAAGUUGGGGUUCUAAAAGCGGUAAAGCAGGUGGUCUAACCGACACACGCGAUUACACGAAGUAGUAGUGAUGGCUAACUUUUAAUUAAACAAAACCCA
This 49313-nucleotide long non-coding RNA is filed under the name Brachypodium distachyon (stiff brome). RNAcentral's name for it is "long non-coding RNA (BDIS_LNC003418)". The stretch from base 13758 to 13883 matches the Rfam family "MIR1120/MIR1122 microRNA precursor family". The record is from RNAcentral. Lineage: Eukaryota; Viridiplantae; Streptophyta; Magnoliopsida; Poales; Poaceae.